GCAAGGCUAACGUGGUGGCGGAUGCGCUAAGUAGGAAAUCGACAGAAAACAUAGCGAUGUUUGUGGUGACCCAACCGCAGUUGAUCGAGCAGAUGAAGCCGUUGGAGUUGGAGGUAGUGACUCCGGAUACACCUUUGAGGUUGAUGACCUUGGUUGUGCAACCUACACUUUUGGAUCGAAUUAAAGAGAAGUAAGCUUCCGAUUUGGAGUUGCAAAAGAUUAAAGGUAAAAUGGUUGAUGGUUGCACCGGUGACUUCUUAGUGGAUGACCGAGGGUUGAUGCGAUUCCGUGGACGGCUAUGUGUACCGGCGGAUGCGGGAAUCAAAGAGGAUAUUCUUCAAGAAGCGCACCGAGCGCCCUAUGCUAUACAUCCGGGAGGUACCAAGAUGUACAAAGACUUGAAGUUGCUUUAUUGGUGGUCCGGGAUGAAAAAGGAUGUUGGCGAGUUUGUAGCUCGUUGUUUAACUUGCCAACAAGUAAAGGCUGAGCACCGAGUUCCCGCGAAAAAACUUCAGAGUUUGCCUAUUCCCGUGUGGAAGUGGGAGAAGAUCACCAUGGACUUUGUGACUGGAUUGCCUCGCUCACAGGCUGGGCAUGAUGCUAUUUGGGUGAUCGUGGAUAGGUUGACGAAGUCGGCGCACUUCAUACCUAUUCAUACGACUUGGACCGGAGAGAAGCUCGCACAAGUGUACCUUGAUGAGAUUGUGCGACUUCAUGGAGUGCCUACGACGAUAGUAUCAGAUCGAGACACUCGGUUUGUGUCUCACUUUUGGAGGAGUCUGCAUGAUGCCUUGGGCACUCGUUUGGAUUUUAGCACUGCUUUCCACCCUCAGAGUGACGGGCAGUCGGAGCGCACCAUUUAGACUUUAGAGGAUAUGCUCCGAGCAUGUGUGAUAGACUUCCGGGGAGGAUAGUCGCAGCAUCUACCCAUGGCGGAGUUUGCUUAUAACAAUAGUUAUCAAGCAAGCAUCAUGAUGGCACCGUUCGAGGCACUGUAUGGACGGAAGUGUAGAUCGCCACUUCAUUGGAGUGAAGUUGGCGAGAGAUUGGCUCUGGGACCAGAUGUGCUCCAGGAAGUCGAGGAUAAAGUUCGAAUUGCUCGGGAGCGACUUUUGACGGCACAGAGUAGACAGAGGAGCUACGCCGACCGACGGCGGCGAGACUUAGAGUUCCAAGUUGGAGACCAUGUUUUCUUGAAGGUCUCGCCGACUAGAGGAAUCAAGAGAUUCGGGAUUCGGGAAAAGUUAAGCCCCCGUUUCAUUGGACCGUAUGAGGUUUUGGAGCGUGUAGGCCCGGUAGCGUAUCAACUUGCCCUACCGCCGAAUCUAUCGGGCGUACACAAUGUCUUUCAUGUAUCGGUCCUUCGGAGGUACAUACAUGACCCAACUCACGUUUUGGAGGCCAUACCAGUGGAGCUGCAUGAUGAUUUGAGCUUUGAGGAGCAACCCUUGAGAAUUUUGGCUCGCGAGGUGAAGAGAUUGCGGAACCGUGAGAUUCCCUACGUGAAGGUACUUUGGAGCAACCACGACGAGCGCGAGGCCACUUGGGAAUUGGAGAGCGCACUGCGGGAGCGCUAUCCCCAUCUUUUUCAGAUGGAGGUUUGAGGUACGUUGCUUUCGAGUUUCGCGGACGAAACUCUUUUUUAGGAGNGAUGAAUAUAAGCACAUAUGAGAUAAGAUUUGCCCCCGCUUGUAUUCUUCGCCUACAAGAAAGAGCUUCCAUCCAAAAAUUCUCUUUUCUUAAAACAAAUACCCUGACUAAAUUCUUUAUCUAAGUUGUACGUUUACAAACAAAACAAAACGAAAAAUAAAUAACAAAAUUCAAUCCGAUUUCAUUUAUUCCAACCGAAAGUAAGUUCGAUGCUAUCGUGAUUUCGUACCAAUCGGAGUAUAAGUACAUGCCGACCAAAGCUAAUCAGACACAAAGAUCCAUUAAUGACUUAGAAUGCACUAAUUAUAUUGCUGAUGUGGCGUUCUCAACCAAUGCAAUUAUUUUUUUGGAAUUCAUCAAUUCCAUCGUGUUUAUCAGAAAAAUAUUUUUAUUUUACCUUUUUCUCAAAGAAAAAGAUAUAAUUGGUUGGUUAUUGAUGAUAUAGUGUAAGUGUGACACAGUAAAUUUUCUGAUCCUUAAAUUCUUUCGUGAGAUCGCCGCUCUUCCACCAUCACUGUCGCUCCGCUCCUGCUCCCCCACCCCUUCACCCAAGCCCGCCGCUCCCCUCACUUGGUCUCACGACCUGACCAACGUGUCCUAACUUUGAAUCGUAAGCACUAACUAUUCCAAAAAUAUGGACUGAUACGACGGCGCAUUCAUCGCACUUAAGGCUUGACCACAACACUCACAGACUUCACAGACUUCGAUCCUGACUCAACUCAUAUGAACAUUAUGUCUAUUAUAAGGCCUCUUGUCGUUAGGUUUAUUAUAAACCGCAAUCACACUUAAAUUAUUAGACUAACCCAACUCAAAUAUUAGCUUCCUGAGCCUACUAUCAUGGAACAAAAAAUUAAGCAUAUUUUAGGCUAUAAUAAACAUAGUUAAUUCGUGAAUUAUUCGCGAUUUAUUGAAAAAACCGAAUAAACCGGUCUGUACACGAUUUAUUUCCAAAAGAUCGAAAUAAUACGUGAAUUUUUGGGUUAGAUUUAUUAUUUGCGAAUAAUUUGCGUAUAUCGAACUAUUCGGCCAAAAAAAUGCACAAAUUUUUGGGAUAAAAUUCCUUUCUGAAUUAUCGCCGGAUUAUUCGCGAAUUAUUGAAAAACUUCAUGACCUUCUGAAAUAUUGGAUCAUGAAAAAGAUGAAGAUGAAGACGAUAAUAAAAUUUGCUAUUAUUUUUUUUUACUUAAUCUAUUUUAUUUUAGGCCAAUUUGCAUAAAGAAUUCAUAAAUUUUAAGCUUUUGCAAAACUGGACCGUCUUUUUUGAUUUUGCAGAUUCGAUCCGAAUUUUCAGCAAACUGACCAAAAUAUCCUUAUUACUUUUUCACUCUCCUCUUUCUCUCUCCUCUUUUUUUCUCUCGUUCAUUUUUUUUCUAUCGCCGAAGAAAGUAGCGGAGGCAGAGGCGGAAGCAGAAAUGGCCCACCUCGCCUCUCACCCUCUCGCCCUCACCCUUGCCCUUGCCCUCGCCCGCGCACCCCCCACCUUCCUCGCCUCCAACCCAACCAAGGCCAUGCCACGACUUUUUUUUUUUCCCUCUCCGACUCUCCUCCACCGUCUCCAACAACGACGCCUCUCUCGCCCUUCCUAGCCCUUCUUGUCCUCUCCCUCUCCCUCCUCCUGUGCCGCCUUCGACGACGACGCAUCAUCGCCGACGCCGACACCAUGGAGGUCGCUGCGGCACUGCAGCCUCGAAGCGGGGGUCUUUAGCGGCGUCGUUGCCGGCGCCGUAGCCGUUGGCAGAGAAGGGUGACAAAAAAAAAUUACAGAAGAAGCAAGAAAAAAAAAAUAAAGAUAAAAAAUUAUAGAAAAAGAAAGAUGAAGAUGAAAUUUCACCAUUAAAAUAAAAUUGUACUGUUUUAAAAAACGUUGCACUAUUAUGAACAUAAGUUGUACUACUUAAGAUGUAAACUACAGUUUUAAGAUAAAAAUUACACUCUUUAAAUAAAAAUUACACUCUUUGAGAGAUAUUUACACUGUUUCUCCUCUUAUUGCACUCUUUCAGAUGUAAACUGCAUCCAUUAAGAUGAAAAUUACACUCUUUAAAUGAAAGUUGCACUCUUUGAGAGAUAUUUAUACUGUUUCUCCUCUUCUUACAUUCUUUGAUAUGUAAACUGUAUCCUUUUAAGAGAUAUUUAUACUGUUUCUCUUCUUGUCAACUAUUUCUCCUCUUGUUACACUAUUUUUUCUCUUAAAGGGUACAGUUUAAGAGAAAAAAUAGUAUAACAAGAGAAAAAAUAGUGCAACAAGAAGAUAAACAGUGCAACAAGAGAAGAAACAGUAUAAAUAUCUCCUAAAGGGGUGCAGUUUACAUCUUAAAGAGUAGAACAAGAGGAGAAACAUUGUAAAUAUCUCUCAUGGAGUGCAACUUUCGUUUAAAGAGUGUAACUUUCAUCUUAAUGGAUACAAUUUACAUCUGAAAGAUGCAAUAAGAGAAAAAACAGUGUAAAUAUCUCCCAAGGAAUGUAAUUUUCGUUUAAAGAGUGUAAUUUUCAUUUUAAAGCUGCAGUUUACAUGUUAAUAGUACAACGUUCUUUCAAAACAGUGCAAUUUUAUUUUAACGGUGCAAUUUCAUCUUCAUUUUUUUUCUAUAAUUUUUUAUUUUUAUUUUUUUUCUUGCUUCUUCUAUAAUUUUUUUUUGUCACCCUUCUCUGCCAGCGCCGGCGACGACGCUGCUAAGGACCCCACACUCCGAGGCUACAGCGCCACAGCGACCUCCACGGUGUCGGCGUCGGCGAAGAUGUGCUUUCGUCGAAGGCGACAAAGAAUGAAGGAAAGGGAGAGAACGAGAAGGGCGAGGAAGGACGAGAAAGGCGUCGUCGUCGGAGACGGUGGAGGAGAGUCGGAGAGGGAAAAAAAAAAAAGUUGCAGCGCGGCCUCGGCGGGGUCGGAGGCGAGGAAGGCGGGUGGUGCACGGGAGAGGGCGAGGGCGAGGGCAAAGGCGAGAGCAUGACGGNGAUAGGAAGGAGAAGAAGAAGGAGAUCAAGAGGAAGGCUUGGAGCACCUCCAUCUCCCUCUCCUCUUCCCAUUGGUGUAGCUCUUGAGGUAAGCUACUAAACCCUAGCUUUGUAAACUUAGGGUUUUGGGUUUUUAUGCUUUGGAAUGGGCCAAAUGGACUCUAGGCAAGCUUCUAAAUAGAUCAAUCCCAUGAUUCUAGGGUUUUAUCGGUGGGUUGCUAUAUGUGCAACCUAGGGCUCCAAAUGGGGGCAUUUUGUAAAGUGUGAGAUUGAUCUCAUUUGAGGCUUUGUAAACCUCAUCGAUAGGUGCCCAAACGCGGGGGCGAAGUCGAUUUCGCGAUUCGUCGAGCGAGCUUGGAUGUAAGGUACCGGACUUCUAAAAUAAUGAAGUUACGGUGUACAUUUGGUUGGAGAGCCAUUUGAAGGGUUCCGGUGAAGUUCGGUGAAGUUCGGGAGAAUCCGGGCGAUUUGGUGUGCGUAGGCGCGGAAAGGGACCCGAAAGGUCAUGUCGGACCAUGAACUAAACCCGGCAUUAGCAGGGAUUAAAAGAUGAUAAAAACAUGCUCGAAAACAUGUUUGGGGAGUCUCGGUUCGAUUUGAAACGAAUCGGAGGUCAAACGAGCGAAAACGGAGCGAAAACGGACCCCGAAAGCUGAAAAAGCUGAAAAUUUGGCUAAGUCUGGAAUGCUGUUUUUCUGGACAUUCGGGGACCGGUCCCUCAAGUCUAGAGACCGGUCCCAGCACCCGAAAAUGGCCCAGUUUGGGCUGUGUGUGACUUAUAUUGUUGAGGGACCUUUGUGCAAUUGUGCCAAGGGUAUAGAGAGGGUUGGGGGCUCAUUUCCUCUCCUUCUCCCUCACACUUUGUAACCUAAACUCUCUCUCUCUCUCUAGAAAGAAAAGAAAGAGAAGAAGAAGAAGAGGAAAGGGAAGGAGAAGGUGGAGGAGAAGGCUUGGAGAAGGAGUUCUACUUCUUCUUCCUCCUCUUUUGGCCAUUGGAGAAGCUUGUUUGAGGUAAGCUUUACACCCUCUAAUGGUAGCUUCUAGUUUAUAAGUUUUUAAGCUCUAGAAAUGGGAUUUAAUGGUGAUUUAGAGAUUGUUAAUCUCAUUUGUUGCAAGAUCUAUAGCUUUAUGUUGCUCUUUGCAACAAUGAGGAGUUAGAGCUCCAAAUGAGAGCUUUAAUGGUAGAUCUCUAGGGCUUUAGUCUUAUGCUCUAGAGAUGGAUUUAGUAACCUUCCUAGAUGCUAAUUAGAUGGAUUAUGUUUAGAUCCAAAGUUCUAAUGGUGGGUUUUUGUCUAAUUGCGACCUAGGGCUCCAAAAUGGGGUUUUAGUAAAUCUUAGGUUAUGAUCUAUUUUGAGUGGUCAGAAACCUAAUUGCCAUGUCUCCGAACGCGUAGGAAGCGACGGUUCGUCGAUUCGUCGAGCGGGUGCGACGUUCCGGCUGAAACAAGUGCUAGAAGGUCCGUUUUGGCCCGAGGAGCCGAGGCGACGUGCGAAGACCACGAAGACAAGCUUUCUAACCUUUCGGCAUUACCAAAAGGUGGGGGAGUGCCAUCCCGAAGCAGUCGGGCUACUCUUUAUGUCUAAGUGCUAAGUUGACCUAAUUGCAUAUUGUGAUAUUGCAUUAUAGGGUGCUAAAUGUAAUUGUUACAUAUUCUUGCAUGCUAAUAGAAUAGUGUAGAGUUGAGUUGCUUAACACCUAAAUCUAGUAUGCAUGAGAUUAACGUCAAAUGACUUGAGACCCUAUAAUGAAGUGAUAGUUGAUAGGAAGUGAACCUGCUUAUGUGAAUGAGAAUUUAGUAUGGUAUAACUAAUGUUUGAGAACAACAAACUUGACGAGUGGCAUCUAGUUAACAAACUUGACGAGUGGCAUCUAGUUAAUGUUGAACUUAGGAGAGAACUAGUUCCCAAGUGAUGUUGUCUAGAGUGGUAGGGUAUCCUCAGUGACGGGGAUUUGACCAUACUUAUAUGUCUGUUCAAAGCUUGGUAUGGUCGCUCCACACAAGCAGUGCACUCCGGAGUCGUCACAUGAUAGGGAUAGCCGUUUGGUUCCCGAGGGAUAGCCGUUUGGGUCCCGCAGACAGUCUUGGGCGAGUGAGCUGAUCCUCCCCAGGUGAGUUGGGUGAGUGAGUUGAUCCUCACCCAUGAGUUGAGAUUGGGCUGUCGUACCUAUGUUGAGAGUCGGGCGAGUGAGCGGAUCCUCCCCGUUGUGUUUAGAUUGUGAGUCGGGCGAGUGAGCGGAUCCUCCCCGUUGUGUUUAGAUUGUGAGUCGGGCGAGUGAGCGGAUCCUCCCCGUUGUGUUUAGAGUGCGAGUCGGUGAGUGAGCGGAUCCUCACGUAUGUGACUGAGUAGACUAGCAUAGUAGUAUGAGAUAGGCUACCUAUUAUGUUGCAGUUUAUACAUGUAUUUUUGUUGAAAGCAUAGUAUCAUGAGAUAGGUUGCACAUUAUUAUGUAGUUCAUGCAUUCAUAGCAUUGGAUUGAGGCAUAGUUGGAUAUUAGCAUCGCUUUACAUUAUGCUUUAUCGUUAUUGCUUUCAUAUAUAUCUAUCUAUCUUUCCGUCUUCGUCUUCGUCUUCCUAUGCCUCCUUAGACCUAGUGGGGAGAUUGGCGGAGUCGGCGGCCGAACCCACUGGGAACUAUAUUCAUAUAGUUCUCACCCCGCGUGGUUUGGGGUACAGGUACACACGAGAGAGCUCCGGCCGAGGACCGCGGCAAGGGCUUAGCGCCCUAGUGUUGGUAGUAGUUACUUUCCUACUUGCAUUAGAGCUACCUAUACCUUUUGAGAGUAGAUGAUGUAUAGGUGUGAGGCUAUUUUGGAAAUUGUAAGCUUUAAGUUCAUGAUGUAUUUUGGAAGCUUUAAUUGUAAUUAAAUGUAUCAAAGUUGAAUGGAUGUAAUAGCUAGUUAUUUCUCUCUUUUAUUCACUUGUUCACUACUUGUGAUGCUUGCUCUUUAUAUGUUUGGCACUGGUUGUGCUCUCGCUAUUGUUGGAUUGUGUAUGUUAUCAAGUUGUUGUCCUGGGCACUUGUGUACACAAUCUCGUUGCUUAGCCGUGGGCGGACAGGGGAAGUGCUGUCCGUUCGGCGUCUGUCCGACGCGCCCGAACCGGCCAAAGUGGUAGCGGUUUCGGGGCGUGACAGUUAUGGUAUCAGAGCGAGUUAAGAGCAAGCAAAGAGAGAGUCUAGGACUGACCUAGGAGACCCUAGGACGGUAAACCGUAAGGUUAUAGGUGUGUGAGUGGAACGUGAACUUAUGACAGCGGCGGAAGUUAAUUAAUUGGGUCGAAGUUGGUGUUGAGACUCUAGUAGUUGCUAGAGACGAUUCAAGUAGUACUAGUUCUUGACUUAAGGUGGUUGUGUUGGCGGCCGACAACACGACGCCGAGAGUCAAGGAUGAGUACGCUUGUGAACUUCCGCCUGAUUUGUGUUGUUGAGUCAUUUUAUCGCGUAAUUGCGAGAGGUUGUUGGGUUGAGGUGAUUAACCGAUUUAUUGCGUUUCAGGAGCUAAUGUCCCCGAGACGCUACGCACGUAGAUCCGUUCCGGCACCGCCCCCUGAGGUGCCAAAGCCUCCUGGGGCGCCAGGGCCAGCUGGGCCUAGUGAGGUGCAGGAAUUGCCGGCGCAGGUGACCGCACUAGCUGGUCAAGUUGGGCGGCUCCAGGAUUUGAUGGAGCGGCAGAUAGCAGCAGUGGCUGCGAUGGCGGCUGGAGGUCGUGACCCGCCCGCACCCUCGGCUCGCGUCCCUAAUGCGACUGAGAGUGAGGGUGUUCCAGCGGCGCCGGUGGCGGCGCAACCCCCGCCGGCAAGUGUUCCUCCAGCGGCAUCGAGUUCUGCGACACUCGGUGCGGCGGCCGAGGAGAUACAGCGAGAGCGUGGCUACACGGCUCUCACAAGGUUUACAAAGUUCCACCCGCCUACGUUCGAUGGAGAAGUGAUAGAUCCUUGGACGGUGGAGACAUGGUUGGCCUCGAUGGAGACCCUGUUCGAGGANUCAUAAAAUGAAAAUGCAUGCAUAUUCAUGCUAGAUAGAUUAAUUGUGAAUUUUAGAAUGCUUAAAAUACGCACGUUAUGUAUAAUGCAUUUUCGAACCUCUAUGUAGUAGAGAGCUUGCAUGUGAGACUUGUGCAUGGGUUUAGCAUUCUAAUUGGGACUUGGAAUCAUGCUUCUUGUAGUAGUUAUGACAAAUAUAAUGUGCCUUGGAUAUAAACCUCAUUGGGACUAGGAGAAUAUUUUGGGCCAUAAAGUGGCUUUAGAUUUGAAUAUCUUGUGAGGUAGGAAGCUAAUGUUGUAAUGCGGCGUCGGGCUCGAACUAUGACUGAGCCUAGCAAGUAAUGCCAUAGAGAGGCAUUAGACUCGAGCGAUAUAUAAAUUGCAUGUGCAUGUUAAUAUUAUGGAAAUUAUGUUAAGUUGGUUGUUACAUCGAAAUCAUAUGCUAGUGGAUAGAUGCAUGUUUAUACUUAUACGCAUUGUGGGAUCCAGGCUAGGCACAUAUUAGCAAUGUGAGAUCAUGCUUGGGAGCACCGUGCAUUAACCUAGAACGGGUAUAUUAAGCUAAUGUCAUAAAGAGGCAUUAGGCUUAGGUUUGGUAUAGUAAGCUAAUGUCAUAAAGAGGCAUUAGGCUUGUGAUACGUAUGGACUUAGUCAAGCUAAGGUCACAUGAGACAUUGAAUUAUUGAACGGUUAAACCUUCACUUGAGGCAUAAACUAGACACUAGGGUUACUAGUGUGCAUUUCCAUGUUAGAGACAUGAUGACUGUUGAGUUGCAUUUCCAUGUUGGAGACAUGACGAUUGGACUAUUGAGGUCUUGACCAUGCUUGCUUGCCAUUUGUGCUCAUUCGCACAUGCUUGUGAGGGUUGCUCCCCACAAGCCGGCACUCCGGAGUUAGCCUACGCGACAUAUGCUCGCUCGUGCGGUAUUGAAAAGCCUACGGGGUCGAGUAGGACAGACACAUUCCAAGAGCAGGAAUGUUGGGCUACCACAGGCACUUAGGCGGCACAAGCCGGACUACACCCUUGUAGAUCCUGAAUGAGAUUGAACCAGAAUACUAAACAACAAGUUGACAAUCACUACUAGAUAGGUUAUAGUAGUUGGAUUUUCUUGACAUGCUUGGCGUAGGGUUUGACUUUUGGGAUAUUUAGUGUACUUGACAUUAUCGCUUAUUACAUUGUAGUACACCUUGCUGCCAUGAUAGUACAUACUAGAUAUGUAGUGGGCUCUGGAAUAUAUAUCACACUUUAUAGCAUUACUUGUUACAUCAUGAUACAUUGUUUAAGUUUUGGGCAUAUUGGAUCAUGUAGAGUAGAUGUACUCCAUGUUGACAUUCAGAAUACUUGUGGCAUAGUAGAGUAGCAUUUUAAUUUCAUGCUUCAAUUACUGUUGAUAUUUNNNNNNNNNNNNUGGGUGAUCCAGAUAGGUCCGUAUUCAUAAAGUUCCUUACUUAUCAUUGGUCACGAUUACGUAGAUUAUGAUACGGACGUUUCCUUACAGUCACCUAUAUACAUAAGUAGUUAUAUAUCAUACGUACGUACGAACAAGAAAUGGUAGGGAAACAGAAAGACAUGGGUUAGAAUGGCCAAUUGAUACAAUUGGGGUUAUCGAGUGGUAAGGUAAAGGGUAGAUGGCCCCCUCCGAAAUUCGUGUUGGCGGGCUCCCUAGCAGCUGCCCCAUGAAGGGGCAACCACAGAUGUGAAGCUUCAUGUGGCGAACUCCUCCUCGCUGGAGGAGUUCAGAUUCAGGUGCACUCGGAGCUAGGCUAGGAGAUCAACUCCUAUGUUUCGGUGAUCAAUGUUACGGUGAAGAUAUUAUCCAAAGGAUGGAUAAACAAGUACAGUGAAAGACCAGUAAAAGCAGUUACCGUUAGAACAGAGAUAUCAGUUACAGUGGAAACAAAUGAUACCAGUUCAGGUUCAGAGUGUAAGUGUGUAGAGAGCCCAAGUUAGUAUGUACAGGUAAAGCCAAGAACAAGUUAGUGAUAUAGGUAGAUGUAUUCUUCGUAUUAUAACUUCAAGAUCAGAGAUCAGUGUACAUUCUAAAGGGAUGAUACGUACUUACCGAUAUAUUAUUUUACGAGUUGUUUUCACUUUGUCUGUAUCUUCCCUUAGGUUGCUAAGGCCGCACGUGGGGGGUGGAGAUUAUUAGCACACCCACACCUUACACUGCUGGGGGCUUGAAAUGCUUUCGGCUAAGGCGCGGGAUAUUGGUUUUAUCACGGUAUAAUCCGGAAAACAUGUACUUGAUAUAAUAUUGUAAAAGCAUUACAGUUUGCCUCAACAGGGUGCGCAAAUCCCGUGGGGGUUAAUCCAAAGAUGUGCCAGUUAAGCAGGGGCUUUUUAGGAUCCCGUUUUCGGGGUUAAGGGUUCGGGAUUGUUACGGUAAAUCCCAAAGAGAACCUAACUAGAGUAACAAUUCGUUUUCUACCGAAUCUUAGUAGGUUCUUCGUAGGAUGAUUCCAAAGAUUUGGAAACCUUAGUUGGGAUCCCGAAGAUUGGGUUGAAAGUUCCUAAGUGGUACUCUCGUGGAACUCGAGAGUACACAUGGUACCGUAGGUACCGAGUUUUCUCGGAGAUUUCAGAGAUUCCUCGUGUUUCGAGGUUUGGGAAUUCGGUUUUAGGUUUUGGAUCUCCUUUUGAACGUUCUUGAGUGGAGAUCAGGUUCGAGGUGGUUCUGAGAAGAACAACCUCUCGAGGAUCUUGGAGGUUUUGUGGUUUAGGUGGAAGAAGAGGUUUAAGAAGAAGAAGAAGAGGUUCAAGAUCUCCUCAAGAUCUCUCUCUUUCUCUCUUUUACUCUCUCCUCCUCUCUUUACCGACACCCUCUCUCUCCUACCGGGUAUAUUUCACAACAUUGUUAACGUGAAUUCGGGGAGGUGAAUAAAGGGUACUAGACGGGUCUGACCCGUAAAAAGCGGAAGCCCCUGGCCAGAGGUGCUGGUCCCUGGCCAAGGGCUUGCACCCCAAAAGUCCUGAAUCGGUUUAAAAGCCCAAAAAGUCGACGACGCAUCACUCCCUGUCCAGACGGAGAGGUCCUGGCCAGAGGGCUCCUGGCCAGAGUGGUGGUCCCUGGCCUACGGAGUCCUAAAGGACCGUCCGAUGCGCGUGCCCCUGGCCAGAGAGGAAGUCCCUGGCCAGGGGCUCUCGAGCUUUAGACCCUGAAUCGGUCUAAAAGUCUAAACGAGAGAGCCCAAGGAAAUCGAAGUAAAUACCUGAGAUUACGUGGAUCCCAGGUACGAUUGAGCGAGGUGAGGCCCAAGGUGAGUAAAGCUGCCUUGAGCCGUGCUAAAUGCUCCCUGCACCAUACAAUGUGGCUCGGAGAGGGCCUCACCUUCCGAGACUUUCUUUUGUAUUUUGUCCCCCGCACUCUUGAUAUUUAAUAUCAAGGGUCACCCGUUAAUGACUGGACGUAAGUCGGCGAGGUCGGAUGCCGAACCCACUGGGAACUUCGUUGUAGUUCUCACACCACUAACCCUACAGGUCCAAGCACGAGCGGGGCGGCGGAGGACCGAGGCAACGGUAUAGCGCCGUAGAUAGCGGCCACCGGGACUUUUCCUAUUUUGUAGCCAUUUCCCUUUAAUAUAUGCAUCAACUUUAUUUUGUUGAGUUAGAAAGUUGUAAAGUUGAAAACAAUAUGUAAUUGGUGAAUGGCUAAGUGUAAAGAAUUAUGAACGAAAGCAUGAAAUGUAACAAUUUAGUUUCCUUGUAUUUGGUGCAAAAGCAAUCAAGUAUUAUUUAUGGGUAAAUAUAUUAGCUUAGAGCUUUCGCUUCUGUUGUUGCUUGCCCUCGUGCAAGCCUUGUAUAAAUGCUAAUCUCAUUGUUUGAUUGCUUUACUAUACAUGGUUUAGAGCCUUGGACGGACAGGGGAGGCUCUGUCCGUUCAGCGUCUGUUGACGUGACCCGAACCCGACCAAAUUGGCGGGGAUUGGGGCGUGACACUCGGGAUCGCGGGAAAGGUUUCGCCUCGAGUUAGCUAUCGAGGGACUUGGUGAUAGGUGGUCCACCUCUCUUUUGUUUUCUUUUGUAGAGGUUAUGAGAGUUUUGUACCUGGUUAUAGAGACCACCCUAUUUUUGUAUCUUGAGAUUUAUGAUGUAUCAGUUUACUUUAUGCUUUAGUAGUAUGAUUUUCUUUUGAUUCUACCUGAUGUUAGAACCUAGCUAUAUACUUGCUCUGAUAUCUCUAGUUGCAGAUCUUCUCAUUCUUUAUUCUUCCGCUUUUGUGUAGACGCCUUAUAUGUGUAAACAUAUGGCGGGUCUGGGCGCGCACCGGGCAGGCCUAUGCCGUGUCCCGGGGCGUGACAGAUUAAUUUGGUAUCAGAGCCUAGGGUUGAGUCUUAGUGGACCUAGCGAACCUUAGGCCGGUUGGACUAUAGGAAUUAGACUCGUGAGAGACGAAGGCUAUUUAAUUUAUGAGCGAAAGUAUCAUGAUUGGGUUUCCUUGAUAACUCCAAAAUGUUGGAGUUGAAUCGAAGUGUAUGGCUUCUAACUUCGUGGAGGGUUACGUUGGCGGCCGACGACGUAACAUCAGGAGUUAGUAGUUGGGACACUUCUUUACUUUCGCAUGAUUUGGAGUGUGGUUAUUUGAGCGGGGUUGCGAUAGCGUGGGUUAUAUUAACUUGCGCUUUUAUGAUGUUGUAGUGUUGAUGCCGACUACACGCUCUAAGUCUGUUAGAGCGGAAGAUGCGGCGACUUUUGAGGAAGCGGAGACAUCCGCUACCUCCCGAUCCGGUGAGGUCCGUGAGUUGAGGAGCCAACUUGCCGCCCUCACCGAUUUGGUGACGCAGCAGGCGGCGGCGGCCCAGCAGCAGGCGGACACGGCACGACGGCAGGAGGCACGGAUGCAGCGCCUGGAGGACCUUCUAUUACAGCAGGCAGCUGCUAGGGAGGCUCAGGUCUCGGUACUACCCGCGCCAGUGGAGACAGUUGCACCCGGGGGGGGUCGUCCCCUGUAUUCGACACUUCGCAGACGACACUUACGGUAGCCCAUCGGGAGGAGGUAUUGGCAGCACCACCAGCUCAGUUGCCUGUGGCAGCGGCGACUUUUCCCUUGAUGGUUGAAAGAGCGGAGCGGCAGCGGCUCAUGGAUCGCCUCGAUGAGUUCAGGAGGUGCGAUCCCAGGAUCUUUGAUGGAGAGAAAGCCGACCACCGGAUCGUUGAGAAGUGGUUGAUGCAUGNGGUAUCAGAGCCUAGGGUUGAGUCUUAGUGGACCUAGCGAACCUUAGGCCGGUUGGACUAUAGGAAUUAGACUCGUGAGAGACGAGGUCUAUUUGAUUUAUGAGCGAAAGUAUCAUGAUUGGGUUUCUUUGAUAACUCCAAAAAGGUUGGAGUUCGAUCGAAGUGUAUGGCUUCUAACUUCGCGGAGGGUUACGUUGGCGGCCGACAACGUAACAUCGGGAGUUAGUAGUUGGGACACUUCCUUACUUUCGCAUGAUUUGGGGUAUUAGCAUUUGAGCGGGGUUGCGAUAGCGUGGGUUGUGUUAACUUGCGCUUUCAUGUUGUUGUAGUGUCGAUGCCGACUACACGCUCUAAGUCUGUUGGAGCGGACGAUGCGGCAACUUUUGAGGAAGCGGAGACAUUCGCUACCUCCGGAUCCGGUGAGGUCCGUGAGUUGAGGAGCCAGCUUGCGGCCUGUCACGCCCGGGUACCAGCGGAAGCAUAUCCGGCACGUGCACAGACCCGCCAUACACCUGCAGUAUAUAAGGCGUCUACAAGAAGCAAGUCGAUAGGAAGUAAAACAAGAGAGUCCUAUCCUGAUAUCAGAGCAAAGUACAAGACGAUAUACCACGAGUAUCCAAUCCGAGUCAAUAUACAAAGAGUAUACAAUCCACAAUCUCAGCAAAAAGGAGAAGUAACACCACUACAAUCUCAACCCGAAAGUAAAAAUACAACAGAGGGUAUACAAAAAGAAUAGGCACAACGGUGGUCUCUCUAUACAUAGGGACAUCACCCUCGGCUGAAGUCCGAGUAACAAGGUGAUGACUAGCACGCUCCUAGUAGUCCCUAGCUAGGCGCGACUCCCUUGCCACGAUCCCUAGCCUCUCCUGUAACAGGCUCUGUAAAAACAACCACCAAAAGGGCGUGAGAACUAUAAACAAUAGUUCCCAGUGGGUAAGCCGCCAGCCUCGGCGAAUUACACCACUAGGCUCAUGAUGUACUAAAUGGAAAUAAAAGCAGUAAUUUGCAUGAUAUACUUUCAAUGCUAACAACUAAAGAACAUAUAAUCAUAGUCUCAACAGUAAUGAAUCAACUGAUUAAUAGAAGCAUAGCAACUACUAUAAGCAUGAACAAAAGCAUAAAUGUGUAAGUAACUACUGUACACUGUAACUGGUAAUCAUUCAUUACUGUCCAAUAUCCUUUAGCACUUUCCUUUCAUUCACAGGGAUCUACUCAAGGUAGUCCAGCUUGCGCCGCGCCUAAUGGCCCCGUGGUAGUAUACACUCCCCACGGCAAUCCACUUCGGCACCCAAUCCCGCACGGGCGAGCAACUGUCGCGUAGGCCAACUCCGGAGUGCCGGCUUGUAGGGAGCUACCCUCACAAGCGUGUGCGAAUGAGCACGAUGGCAAGCAAGCAAAGUUCACUGUCCACAUGUCUCAAUUCUCAUGUUUUCAUUUGCAAUGUUCUCGCUCUCGAUCCUUUGAUCGACAUUUCAGUAUAACAAAUAUUAACAACAACUAGAAUCCACUAGUUUAGUAAGCAUGCAGGAGUAAUGCUACUUUACAUAUGGCAUUAGAAUCUUUCACUAUCAUGGCACUAUCAACAUAGGCACAAGCAUGUCAUAGUUCUCUACUUUAGAGUCAAGAGAAUGUUAUUGUUCUCUACUUGUAAUCAAGCAAGUAAAAAGAGAAUGUCAUUGUUCUCUACGUUUCAUGAGCAUAAUAACGUGUCAUUGUUAUUCAACUAAACCAAACAGGAAUAUGAAUACUUUCAGGCGUGAGGAUUCUCUACUUCAUAGAGAUUCUAUGUCAAUAUAGUAAAUGUUAUGAUGACGAAUUCUCGAGCCCUUUAGCUAUCACAUAAGCACACAACUAACGCAUUUCUAUAAUACAUAUAGAACAUAGAGGAGCUUCACUUGCUCUGGUUAGGUCCGACCCACCUAGUACUAGGCUCCAAAUAGUCCCAAGGAUCAACUCCACAAGUCUCCAAUCCUGCUGAACACAAGCAACAACAUCGCGUCAAAACGACGACCGGAAUAUCCGACUUUGGCCCAAAUUAUCCUUAAUACAAGGUAAUAACUUGAAUCCCUGCUUAGGGCUAGUUUAAUACCUCAAGAUAUGUCUCCAAGAGUUCCCACAAGUCAGCUAACGACGAUCCAAGGUUCGUUCGCACUCUCGCUGCGAACAACAACGAGACGGCAUCAAUAUCAUCAUAUAUUAGCAAAUAUGGUCGAAAUCUUGCGAAUUCAGUUUUCUAACUGAAAUUCCUGCGUACCUCAAGUUAGAACACCUUCUGAACCAACCUCCCAAGUCACCGAAUAAGCUCAAAUAAUAUCGGAAACCUGCUGCGAAGAAGUGAUCCCAAACUGCAUCAAGUAGCGGUAAUUACUCGCGUUUAAUUCCAAAUUAGCUUCAUAAUGAACUAAUUAUUGCUACUAAGCUUCAACAUGGCUUAUCCCUGAUCUAAGGGGGUUCAUUCACAGCUAAUUAACUCAUAAAUACAUGCUGAAAUCUCAGUUUAAAGCACAGCCAAGAGCAAAAAUCCGAAAUCGCUACUCAAAUCGACGAAUAGAACGUCGAUAACGACAAAAGUGAGUCGAUUACCUUCUUAAGUUUCCAACCAGUGACCUGCUGAUCCAGGGCUGCGAAAACCUGUCCAAAACACUCCCUCACACGUCCAUGUAGGCUCUGCAACACUCCCAAACAGCGAAGGGCGAGCUCGGCGACGACAACGGCGCAAAACGGCGACUUUUCUCUAGAGAGAGAAAAACCCUAGAGAGAGAGAAAGAGAAAAAUGGGAGAACCCUUCUCUGGACUCCAGACCCUUCCACAGUACUCCUGGAGUCGUGCUGGAGGUUAUAGAUAGGGAUCAAAAUGUGAAAAGACCAAAAUAGCCUUGCUGGCCCGAAUUGCCACUGUGUACCGGUACACCAUUGCGGCUGUACCGGUACAGCAAGCAGAAAAGGCUGAUUUUCGCCAGUUCAAUGCACUUUCUCACUUUUCGCAUUCCAAACAUCCUCUAACUUAUCCAAACACUUGUUCUAACCUUUUAGAAGAUGUAGGAGUGAUCCACACACCAUUCCACAUACUCGAACUCCGCAAUUUGCAAAAGUUCAGUGUAUUACACGGCCCUCACUGACUUUGUGACGCAGCAAACAGCGGCGGUUCGGCAGCAGGCGGAUACGGCACGCCGGCAGGAGGCACGGAUGCAGCGCCUGGAGGAUCUUCUAUUGCAGCAGGCAGCUGUCAGGGAGGCUCAGGUCCCGGUACUACCCGCGCCAGUUGAGACAGUUGCGCCCGGGGGGUCGUCCCCUGUACUCGACACUCCGCAGACGACACUUGCGGUAGCACCUCGGGAGAAGGUAUUCGCAGCACCAACAGCUCAGGUGCCUGUAGCAGUAGCGACUUUUCCCUUCUUGGUUGAAAGAGUGGAGCGGCAGCGGCUCAUGAAUCGCCUCGACGAGUUCAGGAAGUGCGAUCCUAGGAUCUUUGAUGGAGAGAACGCCGACCACUGGAUUGUUGAAAGGUGGUUGAUGCACAUGGAAAAGUUAUUCCGCGACACCUUCGUGGAUAAGAGAGACAGAGUUUGGCUCGCCACUCACUACUUGGACGGUGAGGCCUAUAGCUGGUGGGUGGGUAUCCAGGAUAAUCCCAACAUCGAUUUAGCAGCGAUCUCUUGGAAGAAGUUUAAGGAGCUCUUAUUGGAACACUACUUCCUCGUCCGUGUUAAGAGGAAGAUGGAGCAGGAUCUGCGCGAGAUGCGCCAGGGGGAUUGGACCGUGGCCGAGUACGAGAGGGAGUUCUCUCGGCUUCUACACUACGCGCCCUUUGUCGUGUGGGACGACGAGGAUAAGGCCCGCAUCUUCGAGCGAGGACUUCGGCCGUCAAUUUUUCGGUUGGUGCAACCCUCCAACCCUCGGACUUACCAAGAUGUGGUGAACCGCGCGCUCAUCGUGGAAAGCUGCGCGGCAGACUUACAGGAACGUCGGAAAGGCGCAAACAAAGGAAAUGGCAAGAGACCCGUGACUGAGGGUGCGAGUCAGACGCACUCUGGGAGGCCGUCGAGACAUUCCAGGAACCAGAGCCAGUCGAGAGGACGUGGCUCAUCAGCAGCACGGCAUGGAGGAUCCGAGCGUCGUAAGACUCUGAGCUGCGUGAUUUGCGGUGGCCGUCAUUACCCGCAGCAGUGCUCACAGAGGCAGGGCAGGUGCUAUUCGUGUGGCCAGGGGGGUCACUUCCGGUUAGACUGUCCGAGAGGUUUGGUAUCAGCGCCAUCUUCAGCACCGGCACCAGUAUUACCGAGAACCAGCCAGGGGACGCCUUUUGCUCACUAUCAGGCCGGGAGGCCACUUGUCCAGAGACAGACGGAGGGGUCACGGUAGGCCCCGAGUGGGCGCAUGUAUGCAGCCCAGGUGGAGGAGGCAGCAGUGGCCGAGUUUGUGAUUACAGGUAUCAGCUCCUUUGUGGCAUUCGAGUUGUGCAUUGUUUGUUACUGGUGCAUGGCAUCUAUGAUCGGCUAUUCGCCGAGUUGCAUGGCAUUUCGUUGGUUCGCUGUUUGUGACAUUGAGUAACCCCUUGAGCUAGGCGGUUGAUUUACGGGUUGCGGGUAGCAUGUUUUGUUAUGCUUGUAGAUCUCACGAGGAUUGCGUUAGUUACAUUCCUGGAUCGGCUAUUUGCCGUAUGGUGCUUGGAGACGACCGUGCUUGGACCAUUUGGGGACUGUGGAGCCUGGGCCCGUUGGGUAGGCGCAGUCGGCUGUGUGUGACAGCGGCCCGGUACCUAUGGGUAGGGCAGAGUUUUGGUCGGGACGGUAGUCCGAGCGUAGACCCUAGAGCGUUGGAAGCCACGUGUUGGAUCGUGAGAUCGAGGACAUGCCGAGUGUGUAGUUACCCAACCCGAGGAUUUGUUAGCGUUGAACUUUUCGACGCAUGUUGGAUGAUCAGUUGAGCGGGUGUGUCGUUUCGAGCACCCUACCACGUGAGAUGGUUUUGUGUGCCAACAAUAGAUUGACCUUCCUUGAUGUGGAGUUGUUGUGGGUACUUGGUACCCUUGGAUUGCGAGCUGAUUUGACUCGCCUUGGGGACUUUGAGCACAAAAUAGUGCGAUUUGAGGGUUUACUUUCGCUAGUUGCGUUGAUUGUCUCCCUUACCUAAAAUUGGGUGAGCGUUGGAGAGGAUUUGGGGCCUAAUUGGCCAUUAGUUUUUGGUGAUCAAGGAUCCUCGUAAUGAAGAAUGUCUUUGAUCGGUUGUUGUGCCCCCGACCGAGACACAAAUCGUGAACUCGAAUUGGCGGGGAGGUACUAUGGUUGGUGUUUUGUUUCGUGACGCAGCACUCUCACUUGUUCUGGGACCGGUUGGGCUGUUUUGACUGUAUGUCGACUCUCGUGAUUCAAAUUGAACCACGAUUGGAGGUUUGGACCGUUGACAUCCAGAAUACUUGUGGCAUAGUAGAGUAGCAUUUUAAUUUCAUGCUUCAAUUACUGUUGAUAUUUCCUGUUAUCAUUAUUUGCUCGUUUUGGGCCUAGUGGUGCAAUUUGGUGCAGGUCAGUAAUUGCCCACUGGGAACUAUAAUUUAUAGUUCUCACGCCCCCUGUUUUAUAUUUUCUUUCAGAGCCUUCCACUCCGGGAGAGGCUCGGGAUUGCGGGAAAGGUUUCGCCUCGAGUUAGCUAUCGAGGGACUUGGUGUUAGAUGGCCCACCUCUCUUUUGUUUUCUUUUGGAGAGGUUGUGAGAGUUUUGUACCUGGUUAUAGAGACCACCCUAUUUUUGUAUCUUGAGAUUUUUGAUGUAUCAGUUUACUUUAUGCUUUAGUAGUAUGAUUUUCUUUUGAUUCUACCUGAUGUUAGAACCUAGCUAUAUACUUGCUCUGAUAUCUCUAGUUGUAGAUCUUCUCAUGCUUUACUCUUCUGCUUUUGUGUAGACGCCUUAUAUGUGUAGACAUAUGGCGGGUCUCGGCGCGCACCGGGCGGGCCUAUGCCAGGUCCCGGGGCGUGACAGAUCAAAACCAUGGUUUGGUCUAGGGGUGAGGCUUGAAGGUAAGCUCCACCUUCUCUCAUGGUGGAACCCUAAGUAGGGUUUUAAUAAGGCUAAGAAUGAUUUAGAUGGACUCUUUAGAGUAUAAUGAGGCUACUUUUACUUCCCAAUGAGAUCAAACCCUAGGUUUGAUGAUGCUAUGGAGCUAGGGCACCCUAAUUGGGGCUUUUGCUCACGAGGGUUCUAAAGUGCAAUUGACCCUCUAGAAACCUAAUUGGGGGUAUUUCCGACACGUUGGUGCACUCGGAAAAACAUUACGAAAAGCCAAUGUGAAGAUAUGGGCAAAAUGACCUAAUUUGGCUUCGUUUUGCCGCAGGUGAAGAACGAGGUCUAAAAAUUCCAAGAAAAACAUCGGAGCACCUGUAAGGUACCGGACUUCUAAAAUCAUGAAGUUACGGUGUACAUUUGGUUUGAAAGCCAUUUGAAUGGUUCUGGUGAGGUUACGAUGGAAUGCAAUAUACCGGAUUUUUAAAUAUAAAAAUGAAAAUAAAUAAAAAUAGUAUAAGAUACUAUUUUUAUUGGAUUUAGAGGAGUAAAACAUAAGUCAGAAGUGACUUGUGCUGAAAUCGGAAUGAAAACAGAAGAUCUAGAAUUUUCUGUUGGAAACGGGACAGAUAAAUUAGCGGAAAAUGCACAGUCUCAGAAAAUUAUAAAAAUUGGAGGAUAAGUCAGAAAUAUUUUUAUGAGAUUAGAUUUAAAGUUUCAUAUUUUUCUGACACCCGUAGAGUGAGAAAUAAAAUCCGACAGCUAUCUGAUAAAGAUUACAGUUCGGUACAAUUUUCAGUGACCAAACGGGGUCAAAACUGAAAACUUAAGAUAUAUUCUUACUCAGUACGUUAAACCGAAGCUACCUGUCAAAUUUGAGCCCAAACGGACAUUUAGAAGGACUCCAACUGUUCCGAACUGCUAAAACUGCCUGGAAUGAAUAGUGUUUUGAGGGUGUUAAUUAAAGAAGCCUUUUGCUUCGUCCUCAGCCGACCACACCCAUGGCCACACACACACGCACGCAUGGAGGGGGGGGAGAAACCCUCAUUUCUCUCUCUAAAGAUCUCUCUCAUCUCUCCAAAUCUCUCGCUCAAAUUCGCGGCGUUGGUAGAGAAGAUGCUUGCGAACGCAUUAAUUGGAGGCGACGGAUCGAGCUUUCGUGCGCCCGUUGGAGCGGCGUAUUUUCGUCGCGGCGUUCACAUUGAGGUAAGCUUUUGGGAUUUGGCUUAAUCCUUAAUGCUUAGUGUUCUAAUAGCCUCUAAUGAGCUUUGUUAGCAUGUUGAUCCAUUUAAUUUGGAUUAUUUUUAGGUUAAUUGCAUAUUAGGGCUCCGAAUGGGAUUUUGUAAAAUAUAAGGGUUUGAUCUAAUUUGACCGUCCGUAAACCUAAUUGCUAGGUAAACGAACGCGUUGGCGAAGUCGGUUCGGCGAUUCGUCGAGCCGGUGCGAAGUUAUUAAAGAAACGGACGUUUAGGCUUCGUUUUCGCCUGGAGGGCCGAGGCGACAUCGUAAACCCAUGAAAACGGAUUUGAAACACCGUGGCACAUAACCGAAGACCUUUAAUUUUCGGAUCGUGGAUUAGAGGCCGUCCGGGUGGUCGCGCAAGAGAUCGGGCCAAACCGGAUUACGGGUGCCGCGGGAGGCCGAUUGCAAGUGUCGACAAGUAAUCAGAAAGCGAUUCGAGGUGGGUUGUGCUUACCGAAGCGACUAGGUCGCCCUUUAUGUUUAAGAAACAUACGAAUUCACAUUGAUGCAUAUAGUUGUAUUGGUAGGCUUACAUGAUAAUAUGAAUGCUUGAAACAUAUUAUGUAGUUGAUAUUACCUACCAAUGAGAUGAAAUGUAUAAUGAAUUAAGUGGUAAAAGAAUGCAUGAGAUGCUAAAUAUAGACUACUUUGGAUGAUGAUUAAAUGUAUGUUGACAUAUCAUACAAUGUGCAUGACGACAUGUUGUGAAUUAACAUAUUGUGGAUUAUGUUAAAUAGAAACAUAUACAUGAUGACAUAUAUUGCAUAUGAUAGAAGAAUUAUACAUGUUGCCAUAUUAGGAAACUUAUGGAUGAAUUAAUCAUGUUGAAUCUUGUCGAUUAGUAGAAAUUUGACAUGGACAAACCAAGAACACCGAGUGCAUAUAACUGUAGGUAUUUUUCCACUCCCAAGAAUUUGAAAUCCUAGGAUAGAUGAAACCCUUAGGAGUAAAUGCCUUAUGGAUAAGAAUAUAAUAAACCUAAUACUCUCAUAUUGAGAGUGUAGAGGUUAUCAGAUAUUACCCUAUUGUAGACAACCUCACUGAAGAUCGGAUUGGAUAUUUGAACUCUAGUAUAUACGGAGCAUCCCCUCACUUGGGAUGAGGAUUGGAUGGAGGGAGUGCGUUGGAACCCUAUUGUAGGCGUAUCCUCACUUGAGAGAAAGAUCUAGCUCAAGAUCUGAGUAUCUGGGAUGGUAUAGCCAUCAAAAUCCGCUCAAACAUGGAGGGAUUGUCGUCCUAGGUAUUCCCGAGUGUCGCGCGACUGAGACACUUUGGAGUCCGCAACUCCACAGUGGAGGUCCGCAACGGUCCCAUAGCUUGGUGCACUUGAGCUCCCUCCACUUUGGAUGAAAGGUGAGUUAUUGCAUGGACCCUAGCUUACGCUACAGAUUGGUCAAAAGAACAUUGAACAAUGCCAUGAACAUAUUAUUCUAUACAUGGAUCGAAUUUGUAGCAUGAAGUAAAUCCUUUACUAUUUGAUGCAUGAUGAGUAUUAGUUGCAUCCCAGAUGAGUGGAUUAGGUGCCGAGUCAUAUGUAGACUUUCUUCCAUUGGAGCCUACGGCUUUGUGCGGUAGUCUCCCGACAUAUGAUUGACUCAAGACCGAGUCGAGUGGUAUUAGCUUCAUGAAACAGUUAAAACCUAUGACGAAUUUGUAAUUGACAGAACUAACGAUAAGCGAAAACUUAAAUGAAGUCAAUUAAGGUGAACUCCGGCAUGAACCGAUAAAAUAGUAUCAGAUUGAACACAAAUCAGUUGUUGCAAUCCAUUGCAAUAAACUUGCAUGAAUAUCAUAUUUGCUUUGGAGCACAAACAGUAGAUCAAUACUUGCAAUAAUAUAUCUGUUGGAUACUCUGUUGGCACUAACAGCUUGCAGGGCAAUCCUUUUAGGCCGGCUAUUAGUCGAGCGUUUCCACUUGGUGAUCGCCGGGACUCCACUAGAACUAGAGUUGUUCUCACCCAACGUUUUUCCAGCCGUUGUACCAGUUGCGCAAACAACAUGACGUACGCGGCGGCAGGAAGGCGAGUCGCGUAGCUCAAAUAGGCGCCCUAUCCCCAAAACCCCCCGAGACGAAGAUAAGGUACCUCCGAGCGUCCCCGGCAUAAUCGUAAGGGAUAGAAGGAAAAGAAAAGAAAGUAGCAACUUUAAAUAAAUUGUUCGACAUUAAUUGUAGUAUGGAUAGAAAAUUCAUGUAAUAACAUCCCUAAUGUGAUGUAAAUGAAUCUAAUGUAAAGCUUGUAAUAACAUACAGGAUGUUUACUCGUGAUACUUCCUAUGAAUCUUCGCUUGAAUACUGUCUCUUCUGUCGUUUUGAACUCUUGUACAUUGUAUUGUAUGGCGACGCCUAGGAACGUACAGGGACACUCUGCCGUUUCGGCGUGCUGUCGGGCCGCCCUGCGACCCCAAAUAGGCGUGUAUCGUGAGUCGUACAGCACCUACGAGCUGGUGGUGCCUAUUCAAAAAAUCAUGAACCACUUCUAUAGUCCUAAUGGGUCAUUCAUUCAAAUCAUACUUUACAUACAUUGUUUGCACUGCAUUAAUGUAAAGUAAAGAAAAGUAAAUUGUUGUGGCAUUAUGUGAUUACAUCUGCUCUAAAUGAUGGUUGAAACAUAUAGAAUGUUGAACCUCUAUAUGUAUGCAUGAGAGGACAAUGAGCACCACAAGUGAAGGCAAAAGAAACAAAGUACACUAUGCUAGAUCGAGUGCAUUUGAUAAUUAAAGUAAAGAAAUAUAGUUAGCUCGUGGGGCAGAGAAUCAAUGUGAUGUAAAGAUAAUGACAAUGGCUAAAGUUAAUACAAAGUGUGGCAUCAAGAAUGAAGAAUGAAAGAAUAAUGCAAAGUGGGGCAAAAAGAACAUGUAAAGAGCAAAGAACAAUGAUUGCUAGAGUUAGCAACAUAAAGUGAUGUAAAGGACACUAGAGUUAGUGUAAUGACCUGAUUGAACUUAUAAUCCUUAGAGUUAAGGAUUCGAUCAUACUUGCUAUGAGUUCCGUGCUUGAGGGCGGUCGCACCCCCUCAAGCGAUGCGCUCCGGAGUUUUUGCAUCACGGGUUGGAGUAAACCCGAGGACGGUCCUAGCGGGUGAGUUUCUGCGAUGAUGGACUUAAUGUGAACCAAGUUUAAUAAGGUGAAACCCCCGGGUUAGCCGUGCGAUUAAAGAACAAAGAACAAAGAACAAAGAGCAAAGAACAAAGAAUAAAGAGUAAAGAACAAAGCCCUUGCAUAAUCUGCAUAACUAUGUUGAGCAUAUUCCUUGCUUUAUUGUUUAGGCAUAUUAGCAUCAUGUUGUAGAUUGGUUACUAUAUUUCAGCUUAUCCUUUCUAUUAUGCUUGAGUUAGUCCUAGUGGGAAAGUCGGUGAUGUUGGGGCCGAACCCGCUGGAAACUUUGUUGUAGUUCUCACCCCACUAUUUCCACAUAGCCGGGACCGAGUGAGCCGGCGAGCGACCGAGGUAAAGGUAUCGCGCCUUAGACAGAGGCCACCAGAGUUGAGCUUGGUUUAUAUUUUGUUAGUAGAAUACACUAUGUUCAUCUUUUGUAUUUGGUGACUAAUGAUGUAAAGAAAAGAAUGUAAAGCUUAUUGUGAGGUAAAUGUGAUGUAAAAAGAAAUGAUGCAAGCGAUGUAAUGUAAUGAAAGGCAAAGAAUCAUGAAUGUAAAGGGAUACAUGUAUGUGAUCAAAGUGAAUCAUAUUACUUGUGUAGAUGUUUAGUUCCUUUCUCUCACUUAUGGCUACCGCUUACCCUCGUGUAAGCUGUGUUUGUAUGUUUCCGCUAGCGCACUUCUUAUGUGAAAAUGUACAUGUGAUGAGCCUUGGGCGGAUAGGGGAAAACUCUGUCCGUUCGGCGUCUGUUGACGUGCUCGCACCGGCCCCAAAUUGGUAUCGGUCGAGGGGCGUGACAGAUAUUAUGGUAUCAGAGCGCCCAAGCGUGAAAGAAUAGGAAUGGACCUAGAGACCUAUAGGAUUGGAAGACCUUAGGGGCCUAGGAAACAUGAGUGACGUGAAAUUAAAGUUAGCGAAAGCAUAUGAUUGGGUUAAGUUGGGACGUCUCUAAUGUGAUUAGAGGCUAGGUUUAAUUAUCAUUCGUUCGUUAUUUCUCAUGUUAUGUCGGGCGGCCGACGACAUGACACUUGAGGCAAGGAUGAAUGUGUAUGUUGCUUUCGCCGGAUGGGGUAUGGUCAAGUAAUGUCGGUUAUGUGGCUAAUGCGAGUUGCUUCUUUUCAGGAAGCAAUGGCACCUCGACGUCGAUCGCAGACAAGGUCGAUGCCGGAGGAGCCGAGCGUAGAGCCUGAGCGACCCGGAGCGAGUGGCGACGAAGAGCUUAAGGAGCAAAUGGCCGCGCUCAUUGGAGCAGUGCGGCAACAGGCGCAGUCUAUUCAUAGCCAAGGGGAGCAGAUUCGGCGGCUCCAGGAGACCUUGGAGCGUCAGCAAGCAGCGGCGGCCCAGGCGAGUGUCGAGCAUGCUACACCCCCUGUGGUAGUGCCGAGUGUUGUUGUGGGAGCAGCGGAGCCAGUUGCGGCUGUACCAGUCACGGCGGUGCCGGCCGGAUCGGGAACCUCGAAUCCCGAUGGUGCGGCAGUCGAUGCGGAGCGAGAGCGCAUGUUGGCGGCACUUAUUUAGUUCCAGAAGUUCAACCCACCUACCUUUGAGGGUGGAAUGGUGGAGCCGACAGUUGUGGAGUCGUGGAUCGACUCGAUGGAGACCCUAUUCGAGGACUUUAAUACCUCAGAGAAGGAUAAGGUGUAUCUCGCCACCCAUUGCCUUGAAAAAGCGGCGAAGGUGUGGUGGAAGCGAGUGAAGCGGGAUCGUCCUACCGAUCUUCCGCUUAUGCUAUGGGAAGAGUUCAAGAGAGCAGUCUUCGCGAACUACUUCUCCGACACGGUGAAGAGGAAGUUGCAGGAAAAGUUCCGCAAGCUGCGACAGGGUGAUCGAUCGGUGGGGGAGUACGAGCAAGAAUUCUCCCACAUUAUUGACUGCGUUCCCGACGUUGUUCGUGAUGAUCGUGACCGGGCGGAUUGGUUCUUGCAAGAACUCCAGCCUCGAAUUUAUGAGAAGGUGCAAAUCCUAAAGUUGUCGACCUUUGUAGAGGUCUUCGAUAGAGCGUUGUGGGCGGAGCAUGGUAGUGCCCAUGUACGUGAGGAACGGGAGGCCCUAGCCGAGUCGAAGGAUAAGGGCAAAAAGCGAACGGCGGGUAGUGCCGGGGGCCGGUCAAGUGCGAAGAAACCCCCUCGGUAUCCCCAACGCAGUCGAGGAGUUGGAGACCACCUCGAUGUGUUGUUUGUGGUGGAGAGCAUAAGGUGUUGGCUUGCCCGCAGAGCGAUGGCAAAUGUUUCAAGUGUGGCCAACCGGGACAUCGUAUCCGGGAGUGCCCGACAUGGUCGUCUUCUGCGCCGACAGUGGCAUUAGCACUGUCUACCCCGAGACAGCUUGCGGAGUUACUACCAGCGAUGUUGGCUGGGCGCACAUCAUCACCGCGUCAGCCGGAGGGAUCGAGAGCGCCUAGCGGCCGAGUCUUUGCCGCUCAGGUGGAGGAGGAGCAACAGCCUGCCGCACCCGACGAUGUCGUGGCAGGUAUAAUUAUGAUUAAUGGCACUAGAGCUAGAACAUUGUUCGAUACUGGUGCAUCACGAUCAUUUGUAGGCUCAAAGUUUGCAAAGGCACAUGGCAUAGAAAUGACACAUAAUGAUAAUUACUGGUGGGUGAAUGGUCCCGAGCACUCGUUUCGCGUUUAUGAUGAGUGCUUGGAGGUUCCGGUGCAGGUUGGCGACUGGAUCAUGCCAAUAGACCUACUGGUGCUAGACCGGAUGUGGGGCUUCGAUGUUAUUUUGGGGACCAAUUGGCUCUCCAAAUACUAUGCGGUCAUAGAUUGUGAAAGUAAGGUUAUCACUUUUCGUGAGCCUAACCAAAAGGAAUUCGUGUACCGGGCAUGCAAAGGUGCGCGUUUCGCGACGACUAUAUCGUCAGUGAGGGCUAAGAGAAUGAUCAAAGGAGGAUGUAAGGCCUAUUUGGCAACCAUGGUUGAUGGCCGUAGGGAGCACCCAGAUCUUGGAAGUAUCCGGAUUGCGUGCGAGUUUUCGGAUGUAUUUCCGGCGGAGUUACCAGGAUUGCCACAGGACCGGGAAGUUGAGUUCGUUAUUGAUUUAAUUCCCGGGGCGGCGCUAGUUUCGAAGGCUCCGUAUAGAAUGGCACCGGUGGAGUUGGUAAAGCUGAAAGGACAAUUACAAGACUUGCUCGAUAAAGGCUUCAUGAAGCCGAGCGUGUCUCCGUGGGGAGCUCCGGUGCUAUUUGUGAAGAAAAAGAAUGGCACACUUCGACUCUGCGUAGAUUAUCGCGAGUUGAACAAAGUGACGAUAAAGAACAAGUACCCGUUGCCGAGGAUUGACGAUUUAUUCGAUCAGUUGCAAGAGUCCAAGGUGUAUUCAAAGAUUGAUCUCCAGUCAGGGUAUCAUCAACUAAAGAUAAGGCUGAAGGAUGUGCACAAAACGGCGUACCGUACGCGGUAUGGCCAUUAUGAAUUCACAGUAAUGCCGUUUGGGCUUACUAAUGCCCCGGCAGCAUUUAUGGACCUAAUGAAUCGAGUCUUCAGGCCAUUGUUGGACCGGUGCGUCGUGGUGUUUAUAGACGACGUAUUGGUCUACUCGAAAAGCGAGGAGGAGCACGAAGAGCAUUUGAGAGCUGUGUUGCAGAUACUCAGGCAAGAGAAGCUCUAUACUAAGUUAAAUAAAUGUGAGUUCUGGUUGAAGGAAGUCACAUUUUUGGGCCACGUGAUAUCGGGCGACGGAGUGUCGGUAGACCCGAAGAAAGUAGAGGCAGUAAACGAUUGGCCUCGCCCGACGAAUGUAGCGGAGGUCCGCAGUUUUCUUGGACUUGCGGGCUACUACCGGCGGUUCGUGGAGAGGUUCGCCAAAAUAACCACUCCACUAACGCGCCUUACGCAUAAAGGAGUAAAGUAUGUUUGGAACGACGAUUGCGAUCGGAGCUUCGAGGAGUUAAAGAACAGGUUGACGUCGACCCCGGUUCUUGCUUUGCCGACUCCGGGGGAGAUAUUUGUAGUGUAUAGUGAUGCCUCUUACGUUAGUCUUGGGUGUGUACUAAUGCAAAAUGGGCGGGUCAUUGCUUAUGCCUCGCGCCAAUUAAAGAGUUAUGAGAAAAACUACCCGGUUCACAACCUUGAGUUAGCCGCGGUGAUCUUCGCGUUGAAGCUUUGGAGGCAUUACUUGUAUGGUGAGCAUUGUGAGAUCUACACUGAUCAUAAAAGUCUAAAGUACUUGUUCACCCAGAAAGAGUUCAAUAUGCGACAGCGGCGGUGGUUAGAGUUGUUGAAGGACUACGAUGUCACUAUACUGUACCACCCCGGGAAAGCCAAUGUUGUAGCCGAUGCGUUGAGUAGAAAGUCGGCGGAUAAUUUAGCGACGGCAAUCACGCCUCAACCGCUAUUGCACAAGGAAAUGCAACGUCUUGGGUUGGAAGUAGUAGCGCUGGGAGUGCCGGCCGUUCUUACUGCAUUGAUCGUGCAACGGACCCUGUUCGAGAGGAUUAAAGAACUUUAAGCUUCGGAUCCUUAUCUCCAAAAGGUUCGAAGUGAAGUUAAAAAUGGCAAUGCCGAAGACUUUGGUGUUGGAGCCGAGGGCGCACUUCGAUUUAGAAAUCGAUGGUGUGUGCCUAAGGAUGAUGAGUUGAGAAGGGCGAUUAUGCAAGAGGCGCACCAAUCCCCUUAUAGCAUACACCCAAGUGGCACUAAAAUGUAUAAGGACUUGAGAGAGCACUAUUGGUGGCCGGGUAUGAAAAGAGAUAUUGGGGAGUUCGUGGCGCAGUGUCUAACGUGCCAACAAGUUAAAGCAGAGCGCUGAUUUUCGGCGGAAAAGCUACAAAGUCUAUCAAUACCCGUUUGGAAAUAGGAAGAUAUAGCGAUGGACUUUAUUACUCGUUUGCCUUGGUCUCAAGGCGGACACGAUGCGAUAUGGGUGAUAGUGGAUCGAUUGACAAAGUCGGCACACUUUUUGCCGAUACACACUACGUGGUCGGGAGACAAGCUAGCGCAAGUUUAUCUCGACGAGACUGUGAGACUUUAUGGGGUUCCAGUGUCGAUUGUGUCAAAUCGAGACCACAGGUUCACAUCUCAUUUCUGGAAGAGUUUGCAAGAUGCGUUGGGCACACGGCUCGACUUCAGUACAGCGUUCCAUCCUCAGACUGACGGACAGUCGGAGCGGACGAUACAGAUCCUUGAGGAUUUACUUCGAGCGUGUGUACUCGAUUAUAAAGGCGGUUGGAAUGAUUUCUUGCCGAUGGCGGAGUUUGCGUAUAAUAACAGUUACCAAGAAAGUAUCGCGAUGGCUCCGUUUGAAGCCUUGUAUGGACGCAAGUGUCUUUCUCCUAUCCAUUGGAGCGACGUGGGCGAGAGAGCGGCCCUUGGCCCAGAUGUGGUACGGGAGACGGAAAAAAAGGUUCGUCUUGCUCGUCAACGAUUAGCGGCGGCGCAAUCUCGGCAAAAGAGCUAUGCCGACAAGCGAAGAAAGGAUUUAGAGUUUGCGGUUGGAGACCGUGUGUUUUUUAGAGUGUCGCCGAUGCGAGAAGUAAAGCAGUUUGGGGUCCGCGGGAAACUAAGUCCCCGUUAUGUCGGACCAUUUGAGAUAUUGGAGCGUGUGGGUGCGGUAGCGUACAAGCUCGCACUACCACCAAGACUCGCGGGAGUUCACAAUGUAUUCCAUGUGUCAAACCUUCAGAAGUAUAUUCGCAACUCGACACAUGUGUUAGAAUAUGAGCCCGUGGAGUUACGCGAAGAUAUUUCUUAUGAGCAGUACCCCGUAUGCAUACUCGAUCGAGAGGAACGAAGGCUGCGGAGUCGCAGAAUUCCUUAUGUGAAAGUCCAAUAGAGCAACCAUGCGGUGCGAGAAGCCACUUGGGAGCUCGAGGAAACGAUACGGCGGGAUUAUCCGCAUUUAUUCGAGUCAACGAGUUAAGGUAUGGUUAAUUUCGAGGACAAAAUUAUUUUAAGGGGUGGAGAAUGUAAUAUACCGAAAAGCUUCGGCAAAUAAAUAUCGAACUUUAGUCAAAUUGACCAAAGUGCGAGGAUGGUACACUUCGAAAAGUUCGGAGGUGUUAAAAUGAGUAAAAGUGUGUUAUGGAAGGUUUUCGAGAGCUAAGAGGUCAAAAUUCUGCAAACUGCAGAAUUUUAGCUCUCGGGGACCGGUCCCUGGUGGGAGAGACCGGUCCCCGAACGCGUGAGAAAUGAGACAGCCAAAAAUUUGGCUAAGUCCCAGAGAAGUAGCUCUUGGGAACCGGUCCCUGCCUGAGAGACCGGUCCCCCGGAGAUCGGUUCCCUCAAAGAGAGACCGGUCGCACUGCGCGCGGCAGCUCUGGCUGCGCUGGGAUGAGCUUCGGGAACCGGUCCCUGGUCGGGAGGAUCGGUCCCCGCAUGCGAAAUCUGCCCAGUCCAGGCAGUUGAAUAAGAUGAAAGUUGAGGGGUUGGGCUACAAUUUUGCAACCCAUAGAGAUAUGUAUGAGGGGUAUUGAGGUAUUUCUCUCAUUCUCACCCUCUCAUCCCCUCUCAUCUCUCUUUCUCUCUCAAGAAGGAAAAGAAGGAGAAGAAGAAGACAAAGGAAAAGAAAGAAAGGAAGGAGAAGAAGAAGGUAGAGAACAAGAAGAAGAGUUGAAGCAACUCUCUCCUCUCCUCCUCUAGCUUGGAAAAGGAAAACUUACAAGGUAAGCUUUGAACCCUAAUCGUGGUAGAACCCAAACUAGGGUUUGGAUUAGGUUAGAAAUGGUUUUUAUGGAACCUCUUGAGUAUUUGAAGCUUUCUUUUUGCUUUUUUAGAGAUCAAAACCAUGGUUUGGUCUAGGGGUGAGGCUUGAAGGUGAGCUCCACCUCCUCUCAUGGUGGAACCCUAAGUAGGGUUUUAAUAAGGCUAAGAAUGAUUUAGAUGGACUCUUUAGAGUAUAAUGAGGCUACUUUUGCUUCCCAAUGAGAUCAAACCCUAGGUUUGAUGAUGCUAUGGAGCUAGGGCACCCUAAUUGGGGCUUUUGCUCACGAGGGUUCUAAAGUGAAAUUGACCCUCUAGAAACCUAAUUGGGGGUAUUUCCGACACGUUGGUGCGCUCGAAAAAACGUUACGAAAAGCCAAUAUGAAGAUAUGGGCAAAAUGACCUAAUUUGGCUUCGUUUUGCCGCAGGAGAAGAACGAGAGUCUAAAAAUCCCAAGAAAAUCAUCGGAGCACCUAACUAAACCUACGAGGUGGGCGGUGCUAUCCAAACUCAUUGAACUUCCUUUUAUGCCUAAUGUGUCAUUCAAUUGAGCAUAUAUUACAUACAUUGUUGCAUGCAUUUAGGGUAAAGUAAUGAAAAGAAUGUGAUGUGGCAUGAUUGUGAGUACAUCUUGCUUAAUGAUGGUUGAGAACCUAUAUAAAUGUGAAACCCUAUAUGUAUGCAUGAGAGGAAAUAUGAGCACCCAAGUGAGGCAAAAGAACAGAGUGACACACUAUGACAUAGAUCGAGUGGCAUUUGAUAAUGUAAAGUAAAGAGCACUAUAGUUAGUGUGGGGCAGAGAAUCAAUGUGAUGUAAAGAUAAUGACAAUGGCUAAAGUUAAUACGAAGUGUGGCAUCAAGAAUAAAGAAUGAAAGAAUAAUGCAAAGUGGGGCAAAAAGAACAUGUAAAGAGCAAAGAACAAUGAUUGCUAGAGUUAGCAACAUAAAGUGAUGUAAAGGACACUAGAGUUAGUGUAAUGACCUGAUUGAACUUAUAAUCCUUAGAGUUAAGGAUUCGAUCAUACUUGCUAUGAGUUCCGUGCUUGAGGGCGGUCGCACCCCCUCAAGCGAUGCGCUCCGGAGUUUUUGCAUCACGGGUUGGAGUAAACACGAGGACGGUCCUAGCGGGUGAGUUCCUGCGAUGAUGGACUUAAUGUGAAGCAAGUUUAAUUAGGCGAAACCCCUGGGUUAGCCGUGCGAUUAAAGAACAAAGAACAAAGAACAAAGAACAAAGAACAAAGAAUAAAGAGUAAAGAACAAAGCCCUUGCAUAAUCUGCAUAAUUAUGUUGAGCAUAUUCCUUGCUUUAUUGUUCAGGCAUAUUAGCAUCAUGUUGUAGAUUGGUUACUAUAUUUCAGCUUAUCCUUUCUAUUAUGCCUGAGUUAGUCCUAGUGGAAAAGUCGGUGAUGUUGGGGCCGAACCCACUGGAAACUUUGUUGUAGUUCUCACCCCACUAUUUCCACAUAGCCGGGACCGAGUGAGCCGGCGAGCGACCGAGAUAAAGGUAUCACGCCUUAGACAGAGGCCACCAGAGUUGAGCUUGGUUUACACUUUGUUAGUAGAAUACCCUAUGUUCAUCUUUUAUAUUUGAUGACUAGUGAUGUAAAAAAAAGAAUGUAAAGCUUAUUGUGAGGUAAAUGUGAUGUAAAAAGAAAUGAUGCAAGUGAUGUAAUGUAAUGAAAGGCAAAGAAUCAUGAAUGUAAAGGGAUACAUGUAUGUGAUCAAAGUGAAUCAUAUUACUUGUUUAGAUGUUUAGUUCCUUUCUCUCACUCAUGGCUACCGCUUACCCUCAUGUAAGCCGUGUUUGUAUGUUUCCGCUAGUGCACUUCUUAUGUGAAAAUGUACAUGUGAUGAGCCUUGGGCGGAUAGGGAAAAACUCUGUCCGUUCGGCGUCUGUUGACGUGCUCGCACCGGCCCCAAAUUGGUAUCGGACGCGGGGCGUGACAUAGAAGCUCUCGAACAAGAAGGAGCUUGCUAGAACUUGGGCCAAGGUAUGUUUUUAGCAAAGAUGAGUCUAGGGUUUGGGUUUAGGCCUUGGAUUUUUGGGUUUUGAUCUCUCUACAAGUGAGGAAAUCCUCUAGAGACCUUGAAACCAUGAAAUCCAUGGUUGUCUUGGACUCCUCUCAUAGUGAACAUCUAGGGUUCAUCUUGGAUGCCCUAGAAAUGGUUUGGGAAGGUUCUAACUUAGUUCCUAAUGCGUCAACAAGCUUUCUUUUGCUUGUACAAAAGAUCAAAACCUAGGAUUUAAUAGAUGCUAUACUAGGGCAUCCCAAAGAGGGUUUUUGCCCAAGUUGAGUUUUGAUCUAUUUUAAUCAUGUAGAAACCUAAUUGAGGGUAUUUUAAAUGCGUUGGAAUGCUCGGUUCGACAAUCCGACGAGUGUACGCAAAGUUAUUGACAAAAACGUCAUUUUUCGUACAGAUAGCCGCAGCACGCGGACUAGGACUUCAAAAAUUUCAAAAAAUUCACCGUAGCAUCCUCUCAACCCUCUAAGGUGGGUGGUGCAUUCCAAGGACUUCGAAAAUCCCUUUAUGUCUAAAGCAUCAUGUUUGAACAUAUAUGUAUAUAUUGAGCAUAUUGCAUAGUAGGGUUAAUUGUGAGCUUUAUUGCAUGAUUGUGAAAUUAACUUCGUAUGAAAUACUUGUGAGAAUGUGAGAAUUGUCAACCUAUGUAUGCAUGACAAGUAACAAGAACCUGGAAGGGUUAGUGAACAAACGUGACACAUGGACAUAGAUCUAAUGAGUGGCAUUGAUGAGUCUAGAACACUUAGAAAAUAAGUGUGGCAUUUGGCAUGAGAACAAGAAUAUAGCACUUAGAAAACAAGUGUGGCAUGAGUAUAAGAACUUAGUAGUGUAUAUGACACUAGUGCUAGAAGAGAAUGCAAGAAAAGAAUGAUUGAGACAUUAUGACAUUUCAACCUUUGAGUUAAGGGUCAUUUGAACAUGGUCUUCCUUAAAGUUAAGGAACGGAUUGAACUUGGAAUUCUCAAUGUAGGAUUGAUCGUACUCACCUUUUAGUCCUUGCUCGAGGGUGGUAGCUCCCCCUCGGGCGAUGUGCUCCGGAGUCGAUAUUACUGGGUCGUAGCGGGUAUCUCCCCAGAGGACGGUCCUAUCGGGUUGUAGCGGAUAUCUCCCCGGUUAAAUAGGAUUUUGGGUUGGUGAGUUUGUUGAGGGCGAAACCUACGGGUUAACCAAGAGAUUGGGUAAAGAAAUUGUAAUCUUGCAUUCAUCAUGAAUAUUAUAUCGAGCAUCGCAUUUUAUAUUGUUCAGGCAUAUUAGUUGCAUUUGUUAGUUUGUUACUUUCUUUCUUCGAUUCUAUUAUGCCUGAUUAGACCUAGUGGGAUAGUCGGCGUUGUUGUUUACCGAACCCACUGAGAACUUUGUUGUAGUUCUCACACCCCUAUUUCCACAGAGCUAGGACCGAGCGAGCCGGCAGACGACCGCGGUACGGGCAUCGCGCCCUAGGUAGAGACCGCCCGAGAUGUUCAAUUUCAUAGAUGCACCCUUUGAUAUAUCAUCUUUUGUAUUUGAUGAUUUUAGUAUCAUGAACAUGUUUAAAUGAAUGAUGUAAAGGAUAUUUACUUAAAUGUCAAAAAUUGUAUUUUGGAGAUAUAAGAUGUAAAAAAAAAUGAUGCAAAUUGUAAUUAAUUUCCUAAGUGUAGUCAUUUACUUUCACUAUUGGUUGUAAUUAAUUUUCUAAGUGUAGUCAUUUACUUUCACUAUUGGCUAUUGCUUGCCCACGCGCAAGCCAUUGUGUAUGCUUCCGCUUAUGCAAACCUUAUACUCUAUUGAUACUUGUUGUUGAGCCUUGGGCGGACAGGGGAGGCUCUGUCCGUUCAACGUCUGUUCGACGCUCUCGAACCGGCCAAAAGGAUCGGGCUCGGGGCGUGACAGAUAAGAUAGUAUCAGAGCGUAAAAGAGCCAAAAGUGAAAGUAUAGGAUGGACCUAGAGACCCUUAGGAAUGGAAGACCUUAAGGAUCUAGGAAACGUGAGUGACGUUGAAUAAGUUAUAGCGAAGGCAUGGAUUGGGUCGACGUAAUUAUGUCUCUAAUGCGGUUAGGGACUAAACUUAAGUUGUCAUUUGUUUUCUUUUCCUUGUGUUGUGAUCGGCGGCCGACGACAUGACGCUUUGGAACGAAAAUGAAUACACUUAUAUGCUUUCGCCGGAUUGGGUAUAAUUGAGUAUGUUGUCUAAGUAACUAAUGUGUGUUGCUUCGUUUCAGGAAGCAAUGCCGCCUCGUGGACGACCUAAGUUGCCUCGUGGUCGACUGUGGACGAGGUCUAUGGCCGAGGAGUCAAGUACGGCUCCCGUGCAACCCGGAGCAAGUGGCGACGGGGAGUUUCGGGAGCAGAUGGCCGCGCUUAUUGGCGUAGUGCGGCAGCAGGCGGAAUCCGUUCAGCGCCAGGCAGAAUCCGUUCAGCGCCAAGGGGAGCAAACCCAAAGGCUCCAGGAGGCCUUGGAGCGACAGCAGGCGGCGGCGGCGCCCGUGGAGGCCGUGCACCCUGCGCCCCCUGCAGUGGUACCAAGUGCGGCCGAGGGUGUGGCCGCGGCGGCCAUGCCAGUUAUGAUGGUGCCGGCUGGAUCAGGAACCUCAAAUCCCGAUAGUGCGGCGGAGGAGGCGGAGCGGGAACGCGCGUUGGCGGCUCUCAUUCAGUUUCAGAAGUUCAACCCACCUACCUUCGAAGGGGGAGUGGUGGAACCGGCGGUGGUGGAGUCCUGGAUCGACUCCAUGGAAACACUUUCGAGGAUCUUAAUACCUUGGAGAAGGACAAGGCGUACCUCGCCACACAUUGCCUUUAGAAGGCGGCGAAAGUGUGGUAGAAGCGUGUUAGGCGGGACCGAUCACCCGACCUUCCACCUAUGUUGUAGGAGGAGUUUCGGAGGGCGGUGUUCGCCAACUACUUCCCCGACACGGUGAAGUGGAAGUUGCAAGAGAAAUUCCAUAAGUUGAGGCAAGGAGAUCGCUCGGUGGCUGACUAUGAGCAGGAGUUCUCCCACCUCAUUGACUGCGUCCCGGAUGUUGUUAGGGAUGACCGGGACCGAGCAGACGGGUUCCUACGAGGAUUGCGGCCGGGGAUUCAUAGGGUCGUGCAAAUCCUUAAGCUCACGACCUUUGCGGAGGUCUUUGAUCGGGCGUUGUGGGCGGAGCAUGGCUAUGCCCACGAAUGCGAGGAGCGCGAAUCCGCAGCUGAGGCCAAGGAGAAGAGCAAGAAGCGGACAGCGGGUAGCACCGGGGGCCGACCAAACGCUAAGAAACCCCCUCGGUAUCCCCGACAGCAGUCGAGGGGUUGGAGGCCAUCUCGUUGUGUUAUUUGCGGCGGCAACCAUCAACCGCCUUCAUGCCCGCAGCGGGAUAGGAAAUGCUUCAAGUAUGGCCAACCUGGGCAUUUGUCGCGAGAGUGCCCUAGCUGGGGUUCAUCUGCACCGACCUCGGCAUCAGUUCCUUAUACCCCGAGAUAGCAGGCGGGGUUACCACCGGCUAUGUCAGCUGGACGCUCGUCUUCAUCGCGCCAACCGGAGGCAUUGAGAGCACCGAGUGGGCAAAUUUUUGCCACUCAGGUGGAGGAGGAGCCGAUUCCUGUCCCCGACGACAUUGUGGCAGGUAUUAUCUCGAUCAGAGGCACUAGAGCUAGAGCUUUAUUCGACACUAGUGCAUCGCAUUCAUUCAUAGAUGCAUCAUUCGCUAGGAUUCAUGGCAGUAAGAUUGUGCAUCAUUAUGACUAUUGAACGGUGAAUUCAGUCGAGCAUACUUUUUAUGUUCACGAAGAGUGUGUAGCGUGCCUAGUGCAGAUAGGCGAUUGGGUCAUGCCGAUCGACCUGUUAGUGUUGAAUCAAAUGUGGGGUUUCGACGUGAUCUUGGGGACCAACUAGCUCUCCAAGUAUUAUGCUGUGAUAGAUUGCGAAAGUAAGGUGAUCACGUUUCGUGAGCCUAAUCGAGAGGAGCUAGUGUAUCGGGCAGCUAAAAGCUCGCUCUUCGCGGCGACCGUGUCGGCGGCACGGGCGAGGAAAAUGAUAAGAGGUGGUUGUGAAACCUAUUUGGCCACCGUGGUAGAAGCCCCGAAGGAGCGCCCAGAACUUAGCAGUAUUCGGGUGGCGUGUGAAUUCCCGGAUGUAUUUCCGGCGGAGUUACCGGGUUUGCCACCGGACCGGGAGAUCGAGUUCGUUAUUGACUUGGUACCCAGGGCGGCUCCAAUUUCGAAGGCUCCGUAUAGAAUGGCACCGGCGGAGCUAAAGGAACUUAAGGCACAAUUGCAAGAUCUGCUCAACAAAGGCUUUGUGAGGCCGAGCGCGUCACCCUGGGGAGCUCCGGUGCUGUUCGUUAAGAAGAAGGACGGCACACUUCAAGAGUUGAACAAGGUCACCGUGAAGAAUAAGUACCCGUUGCCGAGGAUUGACGAUUUAUUCGAUCAGCUGCAAGGGUCGAGGGUGUAUUCAAAAAUAGACCUACAGUCGGGGUAUCAUCAGUUGAAGAUACGGCCCNCCGAGGAUGUGCACAAGACGGCGUACCGUACGCGGUAUGGCCAUUAUGAGUUUACGGUGAUGUCGUUUGGGUUUACUAACGCUCCGACGGCGUUCAUGGACUUGAUGAAUAGAGUCUUUCGUCCGCUAUUGGACCGAUGCGUCGUGGUAUUCAUUGACGACGUAUUGAUAUAUUCUUGGACCGAGGAAGAACACGAGGAGCACCUAAGGACCGUGUUGGAAAUACUCCGAAAAGAGAAGUUAUAUGCCAAGUUGAAGAAAUGCGACUUUUGGCUAUCGGAGGUUACUUUUCUUGGUCAUGUAAUUUCGGGCGAUGGUAUCUCGGUGAACCCAAAGAAAGUUGAGGCAAUUAGAGAUUGGCCUCGCCCGACGAGCGUAUCGGAGGUCCGCAGUUUCCUUGGACUAGCGGGCUAUUACCGGCGGUUCGUGGAGGGGUUUGCUAAAAUAACUACUCCACUAACGCGCCUUACACACAAAGGGGUGAAGUAUGUUUGGAGCCCCGAAUGCGAGCGGAGCUUCGAGGAAUUGAAAGAAAGAUUGAACACGACCCCAGUGCUUGCUCUACCGACGCCGGGGGAAACAUUUGUGGUAUAUAGUGAUGCUUCCUAUGUUGGACUCGGGUGUGUCUUGAUGCAAAACGGCCGAGUUAUAGCAUAUGCUUUGCGCCAAUUGAAGAGGUAUGAGAAAAACUAUCCGAUCCACGACCUGGAGUUAGCGGCGGUCAUUUUCGCGCUAAAAUUAUGAAGGCAUUACCUAUACGGGGAACAUUGUGCGAUCUACAUGGAUCACAAAAGCCUUAAAUACCUGUUCACCCAAAAGGAGCUAAAUAUGCGGCAACGGCGAUGGUUAGAGUUGUUGAAAGAUUAUGACGUCGCUAUUCUAUACCACCCCGGGAAAGCAAAUGUGGUGGCCGAUGCACUUAGUAGAAAGUCGGGAAAAAAUUUGGCUUCGGCAAUUACACCACAACCGUUAUUGCAAAAGGAGAUGCAACGGCUUGGCUUGGAAGUAGUGGAGCCAGGAGUGCCAGCUACACUUGCCGCGAUAGUGAUACAACCGACCUUGAUGGAGAGGAUAAAAGAGCUGCAAGCUUCCGAUAAGUAUCUCCAAAAGGUGCACGGUGAAGUUGAUAGCGGUAGUGCCGAUGAUUUUGGCAUCGGGACCAACAGCGCACUCCGGUUUAGAAACCGUUGGUGUGUGCCUAAGAACAAGGACAUCAGUAGGGCGAUUAUACAAGAAACGCAUCAAUCUCCUUAUAGUAUACACCCGGACGGCACCAAAAUGUACCAAGAUUUGAAAUUGCACUAUUGGUGGCCAGGCAUGAAGAAAGACAUUGGGGAGUUUGUUGUGCAAUAUCUUACUUGCCAACAAGUAAAAACGAAGCGGCAAUUUCCGGCGGGAAAGUUGCAAGGUUUACCUAUACCCGUUUGGAAAUGGGAGAAUAUCGCAAUGGACUUCGUGACCUGGUUGCCUCGAUCUCAGGGUGGACACGAUGCAAUUUGGGUGAUAGUAGACUGAGACGAAGUCGGCACAUUUUCUACCGGUUCAUAUUACUUGGUCGGGGGACAAGUUGGCUCAGCUAUAUAUUGACGAGGUUGUGAGACUUCACGGGGUACCGGUGUCUAUUGUAUCAGAUCGGGACCCGAGGUUCACAUCUCAUUUUUGGAAGAGCCUACAGGAGGCCUUAGGCACAUGGCUCGACUUUAGCAUGACAUUUUAUCCUCAAAGUGAUGGUGAAUCGGAGAGGACGAUACAGAUACUUAAGGAUAUGCUCCGAGGUGUGUAUUGGACUACAAGGGCAGUUGGCACAAUCAUCUACCGAUGGCAGAGUUCGCGUACAAUAAUAGUUAUCAAGAAAGUAUCUCGAUGGCGCCAUUCGAGGCCCUUUAUGGAAAGAAAUGUCGCUCUCCAAUCUAUUGGAGCGAUGUGGGCGAGAGAGCUACUCUUGGCCCGGAUGUAGUGCGGGAAGCGAAGGAGAAGGUUCGCCUUGCCCGCCAAAGACUCGCUACGGCGCAAUCCCGGCAAAAGAGCUAUGCCAACAAACGGAGAAAAGACAUAGAGUUUACAGUUGGCGACCAUGUCUUUUUAAAAGUGUCGCCGAUGCGAGGAAUUAGACGGUUUGGGCUCCGGGGGAAGCUAAGUCCCCGGUACCUCGGACCGUUUGAGGUAUUGGAGCGGGUGGGCGCGGUGGCGUACAAGCUAGCAUUACCACCGAGGCUUGCGGGAGUACACGACGUGUUCCAUGUAUUGAAUCUUUGCAAGUACGUUCGUGACCCCGAGCAUGUUCUCUCGUUUGAACCGUCCGAGAUCCAAGAGGAUAUGACCUAUGAGGAGUUCCCGGCAUACAUCAUCGAUCGAGAACUAAGAAAGAUACGAAAUCGCGAGAUUCCGUAUGUUAAGAUUCGUUGGUGCAAUCACGAUGAUCGGAAAGCUACUUGGGAGCUCGAGAGCACAAUGCGGGAGCACUAUCCUCACCUCUCUAACGAGCCGAAUUGAGGUAUGAGUUUAAGUCUCAAUUAAGUAAGUUUCGCGGACGAAACUAAAUUUAAGGGGUGGAGAAUGUAACAUACCGAAAUCUCGGUAAUUAAAUUCGAACCUUGGUCAAAUCGACCAAAGUGCGAGAUUGGUACACUUCGGUGAGGCCGAAGGCGUCGAAUAAUGCAAAAGUGCGUGUCUGGGGACCUUCGAGAGCUUUGGAAAUUAAAAUCUGCAAACUGCAGGUUUUGUGCUCUCAGGGACCGGUCCCUGGUGGGAGAGACCGGUCCCCGAACGCGUAGGCAGCGAGAUGGCCGAGAAAUCGGCUAAGUCCUGGAAAAUCAGCUCUCAGGAAUCAGUCUCUGCGAGGAGAGACCGGUCCCCCAGAGACCAGUCCCAUUGGGGGAGAUCGGUUGCAUCGUGCGCAGCCUGCGCAGACCACGGGAGAAGCUCUCAAGGACCGGUCCCAGGUCGAGGAGACCGGUCCUUCACUGCGAAAAAUGCCCAGUUUGGGCAGUGCACAGAGAAAGAGUUGAGGGGCCUUGUUAUAAUUAUUACAACACAUUAUAUACCCAUCCCCUCUCCCCUUUUCACAGCACACACACACUCCUCUCUCUCCCUCUCAUUUUCUCUCAUUUCUCUCUCUAGAAAGCUAGCCCUAGAGCUUGGAGAAGGUGGAAAAGAGCUUGGAGAAGUGGAUUUUGGUGGCUUUGGUGGUCCUAGAAGCUCUCCAACAAGAAGGAGCUUGUUAGAACUUGGGCCAAGGUAAGUUUUUAGCAAAGAUGAGUCUAGGGUUUGGGUUUAGGCCUUGGAUUUUUGGGUUUUGAUCUCUCUACAAGUGAGGAAAUCCUCUAGAGACCUUGAAACCAUGAAAUCCAUGGUUGUCUUGGACUCCUCUCAUGGUGAACUUCUAGGGUUCACCUUGGAUGCCCUAGAAAUGGUUUGGGAAGGUUCUAACUUAGUUCCUAAUGCUUCAACAAGCUUUCUUUUACUUGUACAAAAGAUCAAAACCUAGGAUUUAAUAGAUGCUAUACUAGGGCAUCCCAAAGAGGGGUUUUGCCCAAGUUGAGUUUUGAUCUAUUUUGAUCAUGUAGAAACCUAAUUGAGGAUAUUUUAAACGUGUUGGAACGCUCGAUUCGAUAAUCCGGUGAGUGUACGCAAAGUUAUUUACAAAAACGUCAUUUUCCAUACAGAUAACCGCAGUACGCGGACUAGGGCUUCAAAAAUUUUAAGAAAUUCACCGUAGCAUCCUCUCAACCUUCUAAGGUGGGUGGUGCAUUCCAAGGACCUCGAAAAUCUCUUUAUGUUUAAAGCGUCAUGUUUGAACAGCAUAUUGCAUAGUAGGGUUAAUUGUGAGCUUUAUUGCAUGAUUGUGAAAUUAACUUCGUAUGAAAUACUUGUGAGAAUGUGAGAAUUGUCAACCUAUGUAUGCAUGACAAGUGACAAGAACCUGGAAGGGUUAGUGAACAAACGUGACACAUGGACAUAGAUCUAAUGAGUGGCAUUGAUGAGUCUAGAACACUUAGAAAACAAGUGUGGCAUUUGGCAUGAGAACAAGAAUAUAGCACUUAGAAAACAAGUGUGGCAUGAGUAUAAGAACUUAGUAGUGUAUAUGACACUAGUGCUAGAAGAGAAUGCAAGAAAAGAAUGAUUGAGACAUUACGACAUUUCAACCUUAGAGUUAAGGGUCAUUUGAACAUGGUCUUCCUUAAAGUUAAGAAACGGAUUGAACUUGGAAUUCUCAAUGUAGGAUUGAUCGUACUCACCUUUUAGUCCUUGCUCGAGGGUGGUAGCUCUCCCUCGGGCGAUGUGCUCCGGAGUCGACAUCACUGGGUCGUAGCGAGUAUCUCCCCAGAGGACGGUCCCAUCGGGUUGUAGCGGGUAUCUCCCCGGUUAAAUAGGAUUUUGGGUUGGUGAGUUUGUUAAGGGCGAAACCUACGGGUUAGCCAAGAGAUUGGAUAAAGAAAUUGUAAUCUUGCAUUCAUCAUGAAUAUUAUAUCGAGCAUCGCAUUUUAUAUUAUUCAGGCAUAUUAGUUGCAUUUGUUAGUUGGUUACUUUCUUUCUUCUAUUCUAUUAUGCCUGAUUAGACCUAGUGGGAUAGUCGACGUGGUUGUUUGCCGAACCCACUGGGAACUUUGUUGUAGUUCUCACACUCCUAUUUCCACAGAGCCGGGACCGAGCGAGCCGGCAGACGACCGCGGUAAGGUCAUCGCGCCCUAGGUAGAGACCGCCCGAGAUGUUCAAUUUCAUAGAUGCAUACCCUUUGAUAUAUCAUCUUUUGUAUUUGAUGAUUUUAGUAUCAUGAACAUGUUUAAAUGAAUGAUGUAAAGGAUAUUUACUUAAAUGUCAAAAGUUGUAUUUUGGAGAUAUGAGAUGUAAAAAAAAUGAUGCAAAUUGUAAUUAAUAUCCUAAGUGUAGUCAUUUACUUUCACUAUUGGCUAUUGCUUGCCCAUGCGUAAGCCAUUGUGUAUGCUUCCGCUUAUGCAAACCUUAUACUCUAUUGAUACUUGUUGUCGAGCCUUGCGCGGACAGAGGAGGCUCUGUCCGUUCGGCGUCUGUUCGACGCUCUCGAACCGGCCAAAAGGAUCAGGCUCGGGGCGUGACAAUUUUGGUACAGAUAGCCGCAGCACGCGGAAUAAGCGUCCAAAAAUCACGAAAAUGGAUCCGAAGCAUCUUGGUAUCAAGAUAAGUAUUGAACAAUUUUCGGAUUUCAGAUUGGUGGCCGUUCGGGUGGUCGCGCGAGAGUUCGGGCUGAACCGGGUCACGGGUGCCGCCGGAGGCCGAUUGCAAGUGACUGCUAGCAAUCGGAGUGCGAAUUGAGGUGGGUUGUGUUUACCGAAGCGACUACGUCGCCUGUAUGUUUAAGAUGAGUAUUUAUCAUUGAUGCAUAUAGUGGUAGCUAAUGAUAGAGUAUGUGAAUGCAUGAAAUGAAUGCUAAAUGGGCUACCAAUGAAUGCACGAUGACAUGGAAUAAAAAUGCUAGAUAAAUGCAUAGGUUAUGCUAGCUGAAUGCAUGAUGCAUGUUAUAAGAAUGCUAAGUGAAAACAUAUUGAUAUGAAAUAAGAAUGCUCAAGUAUACAUGAUAUUAAUGCUAAGUCCAUGUAUAAUAAGCAUGUUAUAGGAAUGCUAAUGUGGAAUGCUAAGUAAAGGACAUAUGUAUACAUAUAUAGAUCUAGUGGCACCGAACCUAGUGUUGAGGACAUAGGUUGAACAAGAGUAAUAUUGAACCUAGUGUUAAUAAAUAUAGGUUGAACAAGUGUGGCAUGUAAACCUAGUGUAAAGAACAUAGGUUGAACAAGUGUGGCAUGUAAACCUAGUGUAAAGAACAUAGGUUGAACAAGUGUGGCAUAGAACCUAGUGUUAUUGAACAUAGGUUGGGUAUGAACCUAGUGUCAUGGACCUAGGAUGGAUAAGAAUGAAUAUAAAUCUAGUGUUAAAGAACAUAGGUUGCAGGAUAAACCUAGAGUUAUAGUAAACCUAGGUUACGUGGUAAAAGCACUAAGCCUAGAGUCAAGUGGACCUAGGGUGGAAAGGACAUUGGACCUAGAUAGGUCGAUGCUAUAGGGUUAAGACCAACCCUCGAGUUAUGUGAAAUGGAUUUUCGGAAUCCCUGAGCUUUUGGAACACCCAAAGUGGUGUUGGGCGUGUGCGACGAUUUCGUCGUCCGGGGUUAACCAUCGUCGUGGCGUAUGUGCGACGAUUUCGCUGCCGGAUGGUUAUGCCGAGUUGUGGAUUAUACCGCCGCUUGACUUUAGCCAUUGUCGUGGCGUAUGUGCGACGAUUUCGCCGCCGGGUGGCUCAGUCAUAGAGUGUGGCAGGUUGUGGUAGGCUGAGGUGCAUGUGAGAGUUCCUUCACCUCGAGCCGACAAAGCGCCGAUUAUCCGCAGUUGAUUGACUCAAGACCGAGUCGAGUGGCAUAGUGGACUAAGGUAAGAGUAACCUUAGAAAAGAAUGGCCGAUGAGUAAGUUAUAGCUAAAGAAUAAAGAAUAACUAAGAAUAAAAAAAGAGUUGCAAGUAGUAAAGAAUGGCUAGCAAUAAAGAAUGAAAACGAUAGAAAGUAAAAUUAUUUAUUCUACUUGCAUAGUUGUAUGGUUUCAUAUUGCAUAUCGCGAGGCAUGACAUGUAGUUCAAUAUCGAGUAAAUGUAUAAAUAUCUGUUUUAUGUUAUUGGACUAACCUGUUGUAGUGCCUCAUUAGACCUAUUGGUUGAGCUUUUUCCUUGGGUGGCUGUACCCACUGGGAACCAUGGAGUUGGUUCUCACACCACGUUGUUUUGGAGUGUUACAGGUACAGACGUGAGCGGCGCGGCGGCGCGAGGCAAGGGUGUAGCUCCGUAGAUAGCGCCCUACCCCAGAGACCAGAGGUAGUAGUACCCGAGUUGGUGGUCUAGCUUGGGGGGUUUAAAGACAAAAAACAAACUUUUAUUAAGUUGUAUCAAAAUUGUAUCAAUCGUGAUUGUAUUUGGAAGUUGAAUGUAAAAGAAAAAUUGUGUUGUAAAAUGCAUCUAAGUUGAAUGUUGUAAUAACUUAGUAGUUUAUGUUUUUGAUACUUCCUUAUGCAAUCUAUGGAAGAGUAUUGUUCCUGGUUGGAACCUCUUGUAUUGUAUUGAUUGCGACGCUUUGGACGUACAGGGGAGACUCUGCCCGUUCAGCGGUCUGAUGGCGUGCCCUAAUCUGACCAAAGAGGCGGGCUCGGGGCGUGACAACGGCUUAGGGGAACGGACGCCUCCGUGCUCCUAAUAGCACACAAGACCGACUCUAUAUAGAGUAGGUCUUGUGUGCUAUUAGGAGCACGGCCUUCGUGCUCCUAAGUCGUUUUCGAUGAUAGAGCUUCCGAAUCGACGAUCGGCUCCGUUAGAAUUGAUCUAGCGUAUUUGAACUAUCUAGAAACUAAUUUUUGUGAUUUCUCGAUAUGAUUUUCCUAGCGAUCGAAAGGGUUCAAAAUCAAUAAUUUUUAAUGGUUGAUGUAUGCCGUUUGCAAAUUUAACAGUGUAGAAGUAUUCAAAUCAGAUGAAAUUUUGAUAGAAAAUUCUUUAUACUAUAUACAGCAAGAUCAAUAUGUUUGAUCAAAAAUUUUAAUACUAUAUCACUAUUUUUUGUGAGAUUAUUCUUUUCAGCCGUUGAUUUUGAGCACUUUCGAUCGUUAGGUAAAUGAUAUCGAAAAGUCACAAAAUUUAUUUUCUAGAUAUUUCAAAUAUGCUAGAUCACGCCUAACGGAGCCAAUCAUCGAUAAAGAAAGUCCAUCAUCGAAAACGGCUUAGGGGCACGGACGCCACCGUGCUCCUAAUAGCACACAAGACCGACUCUAUAUAGAGUAGGCCUUGUGUGCUAUUAGGAGCACGGAGGCCUCCGUGCUCCUAAGCCGUUUUCGAUGAUAGAGCUUCCGAAUCAACGAGCGGCACCGUUAGAAUUGAUCUAGCGUAUUCGAACUAUCUAGAACCUAAUUUUUGUGAACUUUCGGUAUCAUUUUCCUAGCGAUCGAAAGGGUUCAAAAUCAAUCAUUUUUAAUGGUUGAUGUAUGCCGUUUGCAAAUUUAACGGUGUAAAAGUAUUCAAAUCAGAUGAAAUUUUGAUAUAAAAUUCUUUAUACUAUAUACAACAAGAUCAAUAUGUUUUAUCAAAAAUUUUAAAGCUAUAUCACUACUUUUUCGGAGAUUUUUAUUUUCAACCGUUGAUUUUGAGCACUUUCGAUCGUUAGGUAAAUGACAUCGAAAAGUCACAAAAUUUAUUUUCUAGAUACUUCAAAUAUGCUAGAUCAAGCCUAAUGGAGCCGAUCGUCGAUUCAGUAGCUCCAUCAUAAAAAACGGCUUAGGAGCAUGGACGCCUCAGUGCUCCUAAUAGCACACCAGACUGACUCUAUAUAGAGUAGGUCUUGUGUGCUAUUAGGAGCACGGAAGCCUCCGUGCUCCUAGGUUGUUUUCGAUGAUGGAGCUUUCGAAUUGACGAUCGGCUCCGUUAGAAUUGAUCUAGCGUAAUUGAACUAUCUAGAAGCUAAUUUUUGUUAUUUUUCGGUAUCAUUUUCCGAGCGAUCGAAAUGAUUCAAAUCAACAAUUUUUAAUGGUUGAUAUAUGCCGUUUGCAAAUUUAACGGUGUAGAAGUAUUCAAAUCAAAUGAAAUUUUGAUAGAAAAUUCGUUAUACUAUAUACAGCAAGAUCAAUAUUUUUGAUCAAAAAUUUUAAUGCAAUGUCACUACUUUUUGUGAGAUUUUUAUUUUCAGCCGUAGAUUUUGAGCACUUUCGAUCGUUAGGUAAAUAAUAUCGAAAAGUCACAAAAAUUUUUUUCUAGAUAUUUCAAAUAUGCUACAUCAAGCCUAACGGAGUCGAUCGUCGAUUCAGAAGCUCCAUCAUCGAAAACUGCUUGGGAGCACGGACGCCUCCGUGCUCCUAAUAGCACACAAGACCGAGCAGGUCUUUUGUGCUAUUAAGAGCAUGGAAGCCUCUGUGCUCCUAAGUCGUUUUCGAUGAUGGAGCUUCCGAUUCGACGAUCGGCUCCGUUAGAAUUGAUCUAGCGUAUUUGAACUAUCUAGAAACUAAUUUUUGUCAUUUUUCGGUAUCAUUUUCCUAGCGAUCGAAAGGAUUCAAAAUCAACAAUUUUUAAUGGUUGAUGUAUGCCGUUUGCAAAUUUAACGAUGUAGAAAGAUUCAAAUAAGAUGAAAUUUUGAUAGAAAAUUCAUUAUACUAUAUACAGCAAGAUCAAUAUGUUUGAUCAAAAAUUUUAAUGCUAUAUCACAACUUUUUGUGAGAUUUUUAUUUUCAGCCGUUGAUUUUGAUCACUUUCGAUCGUUAGGUAAAUGAUAUCGAAAAGUCACAAAAUUUAUUUUCUAGAUAAUUCAAAUAUGCUAGAUCACGCCUAACGGAGCCGAUCGUCGAUUCAGAAAGUCCAUCAUCGAAAACGGCUUAGUGGCAUGGACACCUCCGUGCUCCUAAUAGCACACAAGGCCGACUCUACAUAGAGUAGGUCUUGUGUGCUAUUAGGAGCACGGAGGCAACCGUGCGCCGAAGUCGUUUUUGAUGAUAGAGCUUCCGAAUCGACGAUCGGCUCCGUUAGAAUCGAUCUAGCGUAUUUGAACUAUCUAGACGCUAAUUUUUGUGAUUUUUCGAUAUCAUUUUCCUAGCGAUCGAAAGGUUUCAAAAUCAACAUUUUUUAUUGGUUGAUGCAUGCCGUUUGCAAAUUUAACAGUGUAGAAGUAUUCAAAUCAGAUGAAAUUUUGAUAAAAAAUUCUUUAUACGAUAUGCAGUAAGAUCAAUAUGUUUGGUCAAAAAUUUUAAUGCUAUAUCACUACUUUUUGUGAGACUUUUAUUUUCAGCCGUUGAUUUUGAGCACUUUCGAUCGUUAGGUAAAUGACAUCGAAAAGUCACAAAAUUUAUUUUCUAGAUACUUCAAAUAUGCUAGAUCACACCUAACGGAGCCGAUUGUCGAUUCAGAAAGUCUAUCAUCGAAAACGGCUUAGGGGCACGGUCGCCUCCGUGCUCCUAAUAGCACACAAGACCGACUCUAUAUAGAGUAGGUCUUGUGUGCUAUUAGGAGCACAGAGGUCUCUGUGCUCCUAAGACGUUUUCGAUGAUAGAGCUUCCGAAUCGACGAUCGGCUCCGUCAGAAUUGAUCUAGCGUAUUUGAACUAUCUAGAGCCUAAUUUUUGUGAUUUUUCGGUAUCAUUUUCCUAGCGAUCGAAAGGGUUCAAAAUCAACAAUUUUUAAUGGUUGAUGUAUGCCGUUUGCAAAUUUAACAGAGUAGAAAUAUUUAAAUCAGAGGAAAUUUUGAUAGAAAAUUCUUUGUACUAUAUACAGCAAGAUCAAUAUGUUUGAUCAAAAAUUUUAAUGCUAUAUCACUACUUUUUGUGAGAUUUUUAUUUUCAGUCGUAGAUUUUGUGCACUUUCGAUCGUUAGGUAAAUGAUAUCGAAAAGUCACAAAAUUUAUUUUCUAGAUACUUUAAAUAUGCUUGAUCAAGCCUGACGGAGCCAAUCGUCGAUUCAGAAGCUCCAUCAUCGAAAACGGCUUAGGAGCACGGACGCCUCCGUGCUCCUAAUAGCACACCAAACUGACUCUAUAUAGAGUAGGUCGAGUGUGCUAUUAGGAGCACGGAAGCCUCCGUGCUCCGAAGUCGUUUUCGAUGAUGAAGCUUCCGAAUCAACGAUCGGCUCCGUUAGAAUUUAUCUAGCGUAUUUGAACUAUCUAGACACUAAUUUUUGUUAUUUUUCGGUUUCAUUUUCUGAGCGAUCGAAAUGAUUCAAAACCAACAAUUUUUAAUGGUUGAUAUAUGCCGUUUGCAAAUUUAACGGUAUAUAAGUAUUCAAAUCAGAUGAAAUUUUGAUAGAAAAUUCGUUGUACUAUAUACAGCAAGAUCAAUAUGUUUGAUCAAAAAUUUUAAUGCAAUAUCACUACUUUUUGUGAGAUUUUUAUUUUCACCCGUAGAUUUUGAGCACUUUCGAUCGUUAGGUAAAUGAUAUCGAAAAGUCACAAAAUUUCUUUUCUAAAUUUCAAAUAUGCUACAUCAAGCCUAACGGAGUCGAUCGUCGAUUCAGAAGCUCCAUCAUCGAAAACGGCUUAUGAGCACGGACGCCUCCGUGCUCCUAAUAGCACACCAGACUAACUCUAUAUAGAGUAGGUCUUGUGUGCUAUUAGGAGCAUGGAAGCCUCCGUGCUUCUAAGUCGUUUUCGAUGAUGGAGCUUCUGAAUCGACGAUCGGCUCCGUUAGAAUUGAUCUAGUGUAUUUGAAUUAUCUAGAAACUAAUUUUUGUUAUUUUUCGGUAUCAUUUUCCGAGAGAUCGAACUAAUUCAAAAUCAACAAUUUUUAAUGGUUCAUAUAUGCCGUUUGCAAAUUUAACGGUGUAGAAGUAUUCAAAUCAGAUGAAAUUUUGGUAGAAAAUUCGUUAUACUAUAUACAGCAAGAUCAAUAUGUUUGAUCAAAAAUUUUAAUGUAAUAUCACUACUUUUUGUGAGAUUUUUAUUUUNNNNNNNNNNNNNNNNNNNNNNNNNCGAGUAGGUCUUUUGUGCUAUUAGGAGCACGGUGGCGUCCGUGCUCCUAAGUCGUUUUCGAUGAUGGAGCUUCCGAAUCGACAAUCGGGUCCGUUAGAAUUGAUGUAGCGUAUUUGAACUAUCUAGAAACUAAUUUUUGCUAUUUUUCGGUAUCAUUUUCCUAGCGAUCGAAAGGAUUCAAAAUUAACAAUUUUUAAUGGUUGAUGUAUGCCGUUUGCAAAUUUAACGGUGUAGAAAGAUUCAAAUAAGAUGAAAUUUUGAUCGAAAAUUCUUUAUACUAUAUACAGCAAGAUCAAUAUGUUUGAUAAAAAAUUUUAAUGCUAUAUCACUACUUUUUGUGAGAUUUUUAUUUUCAGCCGUUGAUUUUGAGCACUUUCGAUCGUGAGGUAAAUAAAAUCGAAAAGUCACAAAAUUUAUUUUCUAGAUACUUCAAAUAUGCUAGAUCACGCCUAACGGAGCCGAUCGUCGAUUCAGAAGCUCCAUCAUCGAAAACAGCUUAGGAGCACGGACGCCUCCGUGCUCCUAACAGCACACAAGACCGAGUAGGUCUUUUGUGCUAUUAGGAGCACGGAAACCUCCGUGCUACUAAGUCGUUUUCGAUGAUGGAGCUUCCGAUUCGACGAUCGGCUCCGUUAAAAUUGAUCUAGCGUAUUUGAACUAUCUAGAAACUAAUUUUUGCUAUUUUUCGGUAUUAUUUUCCUAGCGAUCGAAAGGAUUCAUAAUCAACAAUUUUUAAUGGUUGAUGUAUGCCGUUUGCAAAUUUAACGGUUUAGAAAGAUUCAAAUAAGAUGAAAUUUUGAUAAAAAAUUCUUUAUAAAAUAUACAGCAAGAUCAAUAUGUUUGAUCAAAAAUUUUAAUGCUAUAUCACUACUUUUUGUGAGAUUUUUAUUUUCAGCCGUUGAUUUUGAGCACUUUCGAUCGUUAGGUAAAUGAUAUCGAAAAGUCACAAAAUUUAUUUUCUAGAUACUUCAAAUAUGCUAGAUCACGCCUAACGGAGCCGAUCGUCGAUUAAGAAAGUCUAUCAUCGAAAACUGCUUAGGGGCACGGACGCCUCCGUGCUCCUAAUAGCACACAAGACCGACUCUAUAUAGAGUAGGUCUUGUGUGCUAUUAGGAGCACGGCCUCCGUGCUCCUAAGUCGUUUUCGAUGAUAGAGCUUCCGAAUCGACGAUCGGCUCCGUUAGAAUUGAUCUAGCGUAUUUGAACUAUCUAGAAACUAAUUUUUGUGAUUUUUCGAUAUAAUUUUCCUAGCAAUCGAAAGGGUUCAAAAUCAACAAUUUUUAAUGGUUGAUGUAUGCCGUUUGCAAAUUUAACGGUGUAGAAGUAUUCAAAUCAGAUGAAAUUUUGAUAGAAAAUUCUUUAUACUAUAUACAGCAAGAUCAAUAUGUUUGAUCAAAAAUUUUAAUACUAUAUCACUAUUUUUUGUGAGAUUAUUAUUUUCAGUCGUUGAUUUUGAGCACUUUCGAUCGUUAGGUAAAUGAUAUCGAAAAGUCACAAAAUUUAUUUUCUAGAUACUUCAAAUAUGCUAGAUCAAGCCUAAUGGAGACGAUCGUCGAUUCAGAAGCUCCAUCAUCGAAAACGGCUUAGGAGCACGGAUGCCACCGUGCUCCUAAUAGCACACAAGACCGACUCUAUAUAGAGUAGGCCUUGUGUGCUAUUAGGAGCACGGAGGCCUCCGUGCUCCUAAGCCGUUUUCGAUGAUAGAGCUUCCGAAUCAACGAGCGGCACCGUUAGAAUUGAUCUAGCGUAUUCGAACUAUUUAGAACCUAAUUUUUGUGAACUUUCGGUAUCAUUUUCCUAGCGAUCGAAAGGGUUCAAAAUCAAUCAGUUUUAAUGGUUGAUGUAUGCCGUUUGCAAAUUUAACGGUGUAAAAGUAUUCAAAUCAGAUGAAAUUUUGAUAGAAAAUUUUUUAUACUAUAUACAACAUGAUCAAUAUGUUUUAUCAAAAAUUUUAAAGCUAUAUUACUACUUUUUCGGAGAUUUUUAUUUUCAACCGUUGAUUUUGAGCACUUUCGAUCGUUAGGUAAAUGACAUCGAAAAGUCACAAAAUUUAUUUUCUAGAUACCUCAAAUAUGCUAGAUCUAGCCUAAUGGAGCCGAUCGUCGAUUCAGUAGCUCCAUCAUCAAAAACGGCUUAGGAGCACGCACGCCUCAGUGCUCCUAAUAGCACACACCAGACUGACUCUAUAUAGAGUAGGUCUUGUGUGCUAUUAGGAGCACGGAAGCCUCCGUGCUCCUAGGUUGUUUUCGAUGAUGGAGCUUCCGAAUCGACAAUCGGGUCCGUUAGAAUUGAUCUAACGUAUUUGAACUAUCUAGAAACUAAUUUUUGCUAUUUUUCGGUAUCAUUUUCCUAGCGAUCUAAAGGAUUCAAAAUCAACAAUUUUUAAUGGUUGAUAUAUGCUGUUUGCAAAUUUAAUGGUGUAGAAGUAUUCAAAUCAAAUGAAAUUUUGAUCGAAAAUUCUUUAUACUAUAUACAUCAAGAUCAAUAUGUUUGAUCAAAAAUUUUAAUGCUAUAUCACUACAUUUUGUGAGAUUUUUAUUUUCAGCUAUUGAUUUUGAGCACUUUCGAUCGUUAGGUAAAUGAUAUCGAAAAGUCACAAAAUUUAUUUUUUAGAUAUUUGAAAUAUGCUAGAUUAAGCCUAACGGAGCCGAUCGUCGAUUCAGAAGCUCCAUCAUCGAAAACGGCUUAGGAGCACGGACGCCUCCGUGCUCCUAACAGCACACAAGACCGAGUAGGUCUUUUGUGCUAUUAGGAGCACGGAAGCCUCCAUGCUACUAAGCCGUUUUCGAUGAUGGAGCUUCCGAUUCGACGAUCGGCUCCGUUAGAAUUGAUCUAGCGUAUUUGAACUAUCUAGAAACUAAAUUUUGCUAUUUUUCAGUAUUAUUUUCCUAGCGAUCGAAAGGAUUCAAAAUCAACAAUUUUUAAUGGUUGAUGUAUGCCGUUGGCAAAUUUAACGGUUUAGAAAGAUUCAAAUAAGAUGAAAUUUUGAUAGAAAAUUCUUUAUACUAUAUACAGCAAGAUCAAUAUGUUUGAUCAAAAAUUUUAAUGCUAUAUCACUACUUUUUGUGAGAUUUUUAUUUUCAGCCAUUGAUUUUGAGCACUUUCGAUCGAUAGUUAAAUGAUAUCGAAAAGUCACAAAAUUUAUUUUUUAGAUACUUCAAAUAUACUAGAUCACGCCUAACGGAGUCGAUCGUCGAUUCAGAAAGUCCAUCAUCGAAAACGGCUUAGGGGGACGGACGACUCCGUGCUCCUAAUAGCACACAAGACCGACUCUAUAUAGAGUCGGUCUUGCGUGCUAUUAGGAGCACAGAGGCCUCCGUGCUCCUAAGUCGUUUUUGAUGAUAGAGCUUCCGAAUCGACGAUCGGCUCCGUUAGAAUUGAUCUAGCGUAUUUGAACUAUCUUGAAACUAAUUUUUCUGAUUUUUCGGUAUCAUUUUCCUAGCGAUCGAAAGGGUUCAAAAUCAACAAUUUUUAAUGGUUGAUGUAUCCCGUUUGCAAAUUUAACGGUGUAGAAGUAUUCAAAUCAGAUGAAAUUUUGAUAGAAAAUUCUUUAUACUAUAUACAGUAAGAUCAAUAUGUUUGAUAAAAAUUUUUAAUACUCUAUCACUGCUUUUUGUGAGAUUUUUAUUUCCAGCUGUUGAUUUGAGCACGUUCGAUCGUUAGGUAAAUGAUAUCGAAAAGUCACAAAAUUUAUUUUCUCGAUACUUCAAAUAUGCUAGAUCAAGCCUAACGGAGCCGAUCGUCGAUUCAGAAGCACCCUUAUCGAAAAUGGCUUAGGAGCACGGACGCCUCCAUGCUCCUAGGCCGUUUUCGAUGAUAGAGCUUCCGAAUCGACGAUCGGCCCCGUUAGAAUUGAUCUAACGUAUUUAACCUAUCCGGAAACUAAUUUUUUUGAUUUUUCGGUAUCAUUUUCCUAGCGAUCAUCGAAAAGGUUCAAAAUCAAUAAUUUUUAAUGGUUGAUGUAUGCCGUUUGCAAAUUUAACGGUGUAGAAGUAUUCAAAUCAUAUGAAAUUUUGAUAGAAAAUUCUUUAUACUAUAUACAGCAAGAUCACUAUGUUUGAUCAAAAAUUUUAAUGCUAUAUCACUACUUUUUGUGAGAUUUUUAUUUUCAGUCGUAGAUUUUGAGCACUUUCGAUCGUUAGGUAAAUGAUAUCGAAAAGUCACAAAAUUUAUUUUCUAGAUACUUCAAAUAUGCUAGAUCAGGUGUCACGCCCCGGGACUGGCGGAGGCCCUUCCGGUAGCGUGCCCAGACCAUCGUUAGUUAAUUCGCGAAUUAUUCACGAAUUAUUCGCGAAUUUUUGAAAUACCGAAUUAAACACCCGUUUUCGAAUUUUUGCCAAAAAUUCGGAAUAAUUCGCGGUUUUUUGAGCAAAAAUAAUUAUUCGUGAAUAAAACGGAAUUCGCGAAUAAUUCGGCCCAAAAAAACGGCCCUCUUGCUUGCGACUGUGAGCGGACUUGUGGACCUCGCGGUGGCCCAGGAAAAAGAACCUGUCGCCCAAAAAAAAAAAAAAAAAAAAAAAAAAAAAAGAAAGGAUUUCUGAAAACCAUCGCCCCCCUCCCACGAGGCGACGACUCCCACGCUCCCACCCCCACCCCUCCCAAAAAAAGGGUUUGCCCUAACUUCUCACUCCUGCGGCGGUGCGGCCCUGCCAUCGACCCCUGCGGCGGUCUCCCUCUUCCCUUCCGGCCGCUCGCCGAACGCCAUCGGAAGCCCUCCUCUUCAGAAAUCGAAGAUCGAAGAUCGGGUUCUUCACUCUUCAGAAAUCGAAACCCUCCUCGUCGCCUCUUCCUCUUCCGCUUCCGCUUCCGCUUCCGCUUCCGCUUCCGCUAUCCAACGAUAGAUCAGUAACCGGGUGGUUCUUUACAAACCCAGGUAGGUACGAUUUGAGUUUUUUUCAUUCUUCAAAGAAAAAGUUGGAAGGUUUUAGUCAUCUGAUGGAUACUUGUUUUAUACACAAGUGGCUGAGUGCUUAAUUGAAUGUGUCCAUUCUCUGUUAUGCACAAAGAAGACCCAAACAUAGUGCUAAAUAAAUAAUCUUAAUUAACUUUGGGACCAGGAACUCUUGUAUUAUACCUAAUCAAUUUCAUGAUCUUUGUCGACUCUUGCAAAAGGAAAAUUUUGUUGUGGUCUUUCAUGGACCAUUGACUCACUGGGGUUUCUACUUAAUUUUUGAAACAUAACUUUGGGACCAGGUACUAUUUGAGUUUUCAUUCUUCAAAGCAAAAGUUGGAAGCUUUUACAUUUAAAUAUGGACUAUCUUGAUCUCUUAUUUGCUUAAUUAUUUCUUUAUUUUGAGGCAUAAUAUAGUUUACUUUUUUUUUACUUAAUUAGUUUAAUUUUGUAGCUUUUUAUUCUUAUAUUUUUAAAAAAUAUGAGUAUUUAUGCUAAUAGCAUAAAUCUUGAGAGGAAAAAAAUUUAAUUUAAUUUAAUAGCCGAAUUUUUUAUCCCGAAUUUUUAAUUGGUGAACGUAUAAUAUCCGUAUAAAUCACGUAUCCGAAUAAUUGGCGAAUCCGUUUUUUAGCCGUUUUUUUCAACGAAUUUAAAAAUUAGAAGACGAAUUUUAUCCGAAUUAUACCCGUACCGAAUUUUUGCCGAAUCUGAAUUAACUAACUAUGCUCCCAGCUGCCAGGGGCCGGUCCAGUCCUGGUGAACAACCAAGCCUCCUCUCGUGCAGGCAGGCAGCUAGAGAGGGAGAGGGAGAGGAGAGGGAGAGGGAAUGGAGGUGCGCACCCGAGCCCCCGGGAAGAUCAUACUGUCUGGGGAGCACGCCGUGGUGCACGGCUCCACCGCCGUCGCUGCCGCCAUCGAUCUCUACACCCGCGUCUCCUUCCGCCUCCUCCCUCCCUCAGGUUAGGUUCAGUCGUUUGCCUCUUGUGGUCUGUGGUCCGUGGCCGUCUUCCAUUGUCUAAUUUUCUCCUCUGAUUAUUUCCAGAGGGUGAUGCCGGAUCGGUUGAGCUAGAGCUAAAAGAUACGGGCCUAGCAUUCUCAUGGCCGUCCUCGAGAUUGAAGGAGACGUUCUCAUUCGAGGCGAUCGGACCUCCCCUUUCUCCCACUCCCAGGCCAUGCUCUCCGGAACAUUCGAAGCUGAUAGCCUCUCUUGUUGAGGAGCAGAACAUUCCGGAAGCCAAAAUUUGGCUCCGCUCUGGGAUCCACGCAUUCCUCUAUCUUUACACGUCGAUCCAUGGGUACCGCCAAUCUGUUGCAAUGCUUCUUUUCUUAGCUCGCUUUGUUCGUCCGUUCCUUCGUACUACAUAUACUUCCGCAAGUCAUUUACCUUUUCUUUUCUCAACCUCAUUGGGAGUGUCCAAACAGCUUCAAGCCUGGGAAGGUGGUGAUCAGCUCGGAGCUUCCACUGGGUUCCGGUUUGGGAUCCUCGGCUGCAUUCUGCGUCUCGCUGUCGGGAGCCCUGCUUGCGCUUUCUGAUGCCUUUUCAAUCGACAGACAGACAAAGGGCUGGUUAGAAUUGGAGCUGAGUGAACUUGAGCUGGUGAAUAAAUGGGCAUUUGAAGGGGAAAAGAUCAUUCACGGGAAGCCUUCUGGUAUCGACAACACUGUGAGCACAUUCGGUAUGUAAAUAAUGCUCAACAACUAUUAAGCCUUUGCUGUGUGCAUCAUUUUUUUUUCCUUAUCUUAUUCCAUCUAAUAUACUUUUAUACUGAAUUUAUUUUCUUUUUGUCUUAAAGGGGGUAUUCUUUUCACUGAAUUUUAAUACUCCCGUGGAGCUCUACGUUUCUAUUUGAAAUUGACAAGCUUGUCACCGCGCUUCACUGGCCAGAAGGGUGUAAGGGCCUACGGUCUCUUGCUAGUGAGGACUGUUAUACUCCCAUGGAUAUCCCAUUUCAUUGGGUAUGAGAAAAAUAAAAUUGCCAUUCUAUGAUAAUGUAAAAUGCCUUCCACUAGUUGGCAAUCAUUUAUGAUUUGAUCUCUUUUAGAUAAGCUCGUCUUGUCCACCCGUUAAGAGUUGCGUGGUGACGAUCUUGCCAGUUUGGAUAGAAAAUGUAGAACAUUUCUAAGAUGUCUAUCAUUCUGCUACUUGUGAUUUCUUAUUUCUCUAGGUAGGUAAGUUGUGUAGAGUUACAUCUGACUGCAUAUAUGGCAGGGAGCAUGAUAAAGUUUAGAUCAGGUGAGUUAACUCACAUUAGAUCUAGCACACCUCUCAGAAUGCUUAUUACUAAUACAAAGGUUGGGAGGAACACAAAGGCAUUGGUCGCUGGUGUAUCUGAGAGAGUAUUGAAGCAUCCAGAUGCUAUGGCUGCUGUCUUUAGAGCAGUUGAUUCUAUUAGCAAGGAGCUGUCGGUUAUCAUUGAGUCCCCUACUUCAGAUGACGUAUCUAUCAUUGCAAAGGAAGAGAAGUUAGAAGAGCUAAUGGAGAUGAAUCAAGGCUUACUCCAAUGCAUGGGGGUUAGCCAUGCCUCCAUAGAAACUGUGCUUCGAACAACUUUGAAGUAUAAAUUGGCUUCUAAGCUGACCGGAGCCGGUGGUGGAGGCUGCGUUUUGACUUUGCUACCUACACGUAUCCUUGAUCUAGUUAUCUUAGCCGGCUUAUACCUUUUUUCAAGUAUUAUGCCUAAGAAUCUAUAUUUUAUGCUUGAAUAUGAUGGUUGCGAUUUACUUUCUAAAUUUGUCUUUGGUCAUAUUGCUUACAAUAGCUUCGAUCUACUUUUACAUGAUUUGUUAAACUUUGGCUCAUUAAUUUUAUCAGUAAUUGGAAAUGCUGGUUAGCUAGUUACAAGUAUCCUUGAUCUAGUUACGGCUUAUACCUUUCUUCAACUAUUAUGCGUAAGAAUCUAUAUUUUAUGCUUGAAUAUGAUGGUUGCGAUUUACUUUCUAAAUUUGUCUUUGGUCAUAUUGCUUACAAUAGCUUCGAUCUACUUUUACAUGAUUCUUUAAACUUUGGCUCAUUAAUUUUAUCAGUAACUGGAAAUACUGGUUAGCUAGUUAACUUUUUCUUUGCGUUCCCUUUGUCUUUCGCUCCAAUUUAUCUAUAUCCUUUUUUGUUGAGUAAUAGAUUUUGUCUAGUUUUAUUUUUUGUAACUGUUUGUGAUUAGUACAGCAGCAUAUAAUUUACAAAGUAGACCAAUUAGGUUGGCAUUUCCGAUCAAUUAUAAGUUAACUAAAAAGCAAUAGCGUUUAAAGCAUUAAGAAUAGCUUGGUUUCCCAUAAUCUCUCAUUUGACUAAGCCUUUAAAAAUUAUCAGUUCAUAGAUUAGGUCGUCAAUCCACAUUGGUUAUGUAACGUAUGUGAAACAUAGAGGGUGAGGAUACAGUAUUAGUCAACUUAUCCACAUCGUACUUGAGUAAGCCGACAAAUUAUGUUGAUUCAAGGCCUCAUAACAUAAAAUUACUUUGUCUUGGAUGGGCAAAUGAUGCAGUCUAAAAUUAGGGUUUCAAUUGAUUGAGUUCUUGAUUAUGUUAGCUACUUGAUUUAGUUUGGCAUUAUUUGGGCUUUAUUUUGGUUAGAUUUGUAUUUGGUUAUGUACUCGGUAAUUACUCUUGUAGGUCAAAGUAAGCAAGUACCUAAAUUUGAGUGAUACAUUAGGAUAAGCAUUUGGUAGUUUCUAUUCGAUAAAUGGACCCACCGGCUCUAUUGUUCCUGUUCAUUUAAGAAAUUAAAUUUAGAUUUAGAUUUUCCUCUUUUUUGGUUGCAUUUCCUUUCCUCUUCUACUUUGUCCUCCGCCUGUUGCUUCUCUUUCCUUUCCUUUCCUUUCCCCAUCAAUUUAGUCAUCUGAGAAAUUAAUUGGGACAAGGGUUUUAUUCAUUUGUCUCCUCUUCCUAUUCUCUUCUAAUUUCUACUCUGCCUGUCGGUUCUCAUUCCAAUUUUGCUCUUCUUUUCUUUUUGCUCUCGGCCCCUUCAAUAUUGUUAUUGCUGCGUACUGCAGCCAAUUGCAGCAAACUACUUUCUCCCAACCUUUUACCGUCCCACUGCACUACUGUAGCGCUACAACCAUUGCACUACCGUUCCACAACCAAUUACCGUGUUGUUGAUGUUGUUCUUUUUUUUGUUUUACUUAUGCUGCUAUUUUUUGGUGGUUGUUCUGUGUUUCAAUUUCCCUUACAAUGCAUUGUUUCUAUUGCUGAAUUUUUGGUGCAUAUAGUAGAACCCUAAAUUAAGUUUUCAAUAAUUAUUGCGCCCCUCUUUUAGAAUCCUAGGGCUACGUAAAUUUGGUAUUGGAGCAAGUUCCAUCGUAGUACGUAUGUCGGGAUAACUUUUCCUCUUAUUUUCCAUAUUUUUCUGUUUGAUCACAUUUCUUCUGUCCCUUUUUGCCUAUUCCAUUUUUUUUACAAUGACUAUCAGCGCUGAACUUAACCAACUCUUACAGGCUUGAACCAAAACCUCCAUUUACCAAGAUUUUAAGUGCUCGUCAGCACGGGCCAUAUCCACCGUGCUGUACCGUGCCAACAAGAUACCGGCACGAUACAGACCCCGUACCGAUGGCAUAGCUCAAAACCCUCUAUUCUUUAAAUUAGUAAGUAAUUUCCUCAAUAAAGUUCAAAAUAUGUGAUAAAAAGACAUAAUGAAUAGUUAGAAUAUUUUGUUGCUAAAGAAAAUAAAUAUUUCUAUGUGUCGGCACACAAGAAUUUUUUUUGACCGGCAUGUAUCGACACGGCUUGGCACGCAUCGUGCUAGCAAGUUUCCGGCACGCAUCGACACGGCUUGGCACGCAUCGUGCCAGCAAGUUUCCGGCACGACCCCGUGUCACGGCACUUAAAUCCUUGCCAUUUACCCUCUUAACUUUUUGAUCCCCUAAUCCACCAAUAGAUUCCUCCAACCUUUGUACCUAUUUCUCUCUCCAAAGAAAAACCAUGGCCGUAACCCUUUUACUGAUCUUCCAAGACUGAUAAAUUGUGAAGUUUGACAUUCUGCAAAGCAUAGGAUAAAAAUUAUGAUGUUUUUUCUUGAUUUGGUUUUCCCUCUUGAUGCAUCUUUCAGAUAGUAAAAUAUGAUGGAGAAUCGAAAGAUCUUCUUUGUUGAUAUAAACUGUAGACUACUUGCAUGGGGUGAGAGUGAGACAAUGUGAAGGAGACAAGUAUCAUUAUGUUAUAUCCUAGGUGCAGCCAUGUGAUUUCCAACACUAGGAAAACAUGGAAAUGGUGAUGAUGUUCAUAUGGGGCACCAUUAUUUUCACCAGAGGCAUCAGUGUUGGUUGAUGAUGCUCAUAUAGGCCUAGUUUGGUAAUGUGGAGGCUAAAAGAACCAUUUUAAUACUAUGAAAGAUCCAAAAAAUUUAAAAACUCUUGUAACGUAUCUUCCUCCAAUGCUUUAAAAUUGUGGUUGCAACUGCCACCGGAGAAGCAUGUGGCUACAUGUUUCUCCAGUGGCGGUUGCAACCAUAAUUUUAUAGCAUAAAAGAAGGAAAAAUUGAAAGCGCUUUUGUAAAUUUGGGCCCUCUAUAAUAUAAAUAUUGUGCUUUUAGCCAGCAAAUUACCAAACGAGGCCAUAGUACCCCACUACUCUUAAGUAUAUGGUUAUGCAUUAGUGGCAUUGUUUGAAUGACUCUAUGAAAUUGAAGAACACUUAGUUAAGAACUGCCACAAAUUUUUAUAUCAUAAUUAUAGAUAGAAAUUGGAUCAAUUUUUAUAUUGUUACAUGAUAUCAUAAUUUCAUCGGUUGCCUUUCCAGGUCUAGUCAUAAAGACAAUUAUAUACGGGAAUGCAGUUUAAGCCGUAGGAAGCCGAGGGUUAACAACCUCCCAGACCUAGUCCAACCAGUUCCGAUAGUCAUAAGCCUGUCCUUUUCCUUGUGUACCCUCUUUCGGGCUUCUAUUUUUUCUACUCUUGAAAGCAAGCGAGUGAAAUAAAAUUACGCGUCCGAGCUUCUCCUCAACCAGUGGAAGAGCACUUCUCUCUCUUUUCAUUCGGCUCUUGCCUCUUUUGCUUCAUUUCAUCUAAUGAUCAGGUCCUAGCCUCAAGGCAACAACCAAUUAGUUAUCAGCCUACUGACUAUUGCAUCAUAUGGGUUUUAUGAGAGAGGGAUCACUGGGGUGAUACACCAGAUAAAAAUCGAUAAUUGUCAGCAUAUGAAACAGUGAUUUCAUAUCUUAUAUGUGCUUAUUUCUGUUAUUCCUUUGAUUCUUGCUCCCGGCGGUUCAUUCAUUUGACCAUAACUAAAGCUACUUUGGAUUCUGCAAAAUUUUUUUGAUUAAUUAUUACUUUUGUUGAUAUUAUCAUAAUAAAACUUACCCACGUUGCUUAUUGCUGUCCCUUUUAUCAUUUUACUAUAGGAAGAGAAUGACCUUUAUAAUUUAACAUUUUAUUGGUUUUUUAUAUCAUUUGCAUCAUCUUCAACCACCCUUACACGAGAACUUGUAACUUCUCCGGUUUAAAUCCAUGACCAAUGAAUGAAACGUGAAUUCUAGUAAAUGCUAAGCCGUAAUGAUUUAUGUCCGUAAUUUGUAAAUUAGCUCGAUUCAUCUCAUCUUCUCUUAGUCCAUAGUGUCUUGUUACACAACCUCUUGACAAUAUUAUCCAAGUUGGCCAAGCCCAUAGAAUAAGGCAAUUUUUGUACUGGAAGUUCUAAGAGUUUACUCAAAAUACCUUUUGGAAGUUAAAUUCUACAUAAUCUUUAGUCUACUUAAAUUGUCUGCUGUUAAAACUCAGAAGUAUGUAUCUUGCCUAUGUUUAUGCUAAAAAUAUUUCUAAUUUACAAGAAGAAAAUAUUACAUUUCCAAAAUUGUCCACAAAAUCAACUAAACAAUAUAAAAAUUAGUAGCAUUGACCUGUCUUGUUAUAGUUGUACUUUUCUGUACCCUUUAUUACCAUUAAUUAUCUCUAUUAAACAUUUCAUCAACCCUUUCUUGUUUACUUAUCUAGCUGUUAGAAAUUAGAAUGCAAUUAUAGACUGCUAAUUUCGUGUAAAAUUUCUAUGUAUCUCAAAAACUUAAUGAGUCUCUAUUUCUACUUGUGAUUUCCCAGGGAUAAAUAUUUUAUUUGAACUUAGUACCUCACAGUCUGUCAAGUCUUUUUUGUGUUAGAGGUAUGCUAUAUGGAAACUAAGGGCUUAUGAUCUUCAUGUGCUUUAUAUGUAGUCAUGAAAGUUUUCCAGACAAUCCAAUUAUUACGUAAACCUUUAACUUUUCCAGAAGCUAGACUUUCUGUGGUGCAGUCUAAAUCUAGACAAGCGUUUAUUAAUUCUUUCCAUUGUAAUUUCGUAAGGUUUAGGGGUUGCACAUGUUAUUAGCAUUGCAUUGAACUCUAGUUUGGAUUCGUUUGGAUAGUUCAGGAUUAGAUGCAUUAUUGGUGGAUCAAGCAUCAAUUCAGUUACGAAAGGGGAUUAAAUCUUCACUGGAACUUCUUUUAAGAUGUUGGAUUGAAUGCGCUCAAAUUUCUAGCAGUGUUUCAAUGAUUUUGAUUUAAACUGCUGUUUUCAUUUCCUCCAUGCUGAAUUACAUGUUCUAAAUUAAGUUAUAGAGCUGUCUUUCAUUUCUUUAGAUGGUCGUUUGUUGAUUUGGAACUUCCUGAGUUUUAGCCAUUCUGGUUUCAGUUUAAAACUGUGCCAAUGCCUUUUCGCUGCUAGUGCCGUUCAGAUUUGUUGCUUUUAUUGCUGCCCAUUUUGAAUAUAUUUUACUGCAGAAACCUACCUUUAUUUGCUGGAUAACCUUCAUCAUGCCUCACUGCUUUAUAAUACUAGUCAGUUAGAAAUCUUUUCACGGCCCCUUUAGGCAGAGUCCUUGGAUGAUUAUAUUGAGAGUUUUCAAUGGCUAGGAUUUCCCUUAGUUCUUCCACUCCAAUUGUUUCUUAGAUGUAAAUUGUUUACUUUUUGUCUCUUUCUUCAAAGAAAAAAAAUCUUCAUUCACUGUUAUUCAGUUGUUCUUCUUCAAAAGCUCUUUCUAGACGGAAUUUUGUCUUUUUUCCCUUUUUUGCUGCUUUAGGAGAGCUUUCUUAGUGACAAAAGAAAAUGCAACUUGAUUUGCCACACUACCACUGUCUAAUAGCAUCCUUUUUGUUAGUGGACUACAUCAACUUGGUAGUGGUGCAAGUUCAAAAUAAAGUAAAUCCUAAUCUAGAUUUAGGCUGCAUCAAAGUUUGCUUGGUUUGAGGUGAACUUUUGAUUUGAUCUUUUCAUAGAGAUUUUUUUUUUUAUUUUUCUUAUUUUUAUUUUUAUUUUUUUGUUUGAAAAAUGAUCUGUUCAUAGAGUUUCAUUAUCUUGUCAUUACUAGUGAAAUACCCGCGUGUUGCUGCGGAUAUAAAAAUAUUUUUAUAAUAAAUUUAUUUUUUUAAAUAUUUUUAUAUAGUUUUAUAAAUUUAAUUAUUAAUUAAAUAAAUAUUAUAUAAAAAUAAUUUAAUAGUUAAAUCUAUUUAAAUAAAGAUCAUUCAUUAAAAUUGGUGGUAUAUGCCAAUAGUAGAAUUAUACGAAUAUUUAUUUAUAAAAGAUUUAUCUGAAAAGGAUUGAGGAUAAAUUCUAGUCAAUAGAUAAUUUUGUGUUCGGUAAGAAAGAUGGAGGUGCGAGUAAAUAGAAGGAAAACUGAAAAUGUGGUGAGAAGAGAGAGUUGUUGAGAUACGAGUGAGCGGAUGGGGGUUCGUGUUUUUAGGCGAUAUUGGAUGUAUUAUGGGGUGAUAUUAUAUAGAACUAGUUUAGGCUAUAUACUAAUAAUAUCACCAAGUUAUUGGUGGCUACCAAGUUUUUGGCCAUUGGAUUAAGAGAUGUGCGGUUAGGAUGAUGUGGGUCCCCUAGGGUUGAGUGGGUGGUGGUUUUGAAUAGUAUAAUCGUAACGGAUGAGAAAUGAUCAAAAGGGGUAGUUCUAAGCGCGGAAAACUUGGCUGCACCAGUGUUUCGUUGCUAUUAAUAGCAUAGAGCCGGACUCUUUCUCUUCGUUCUUCUCUCUGCUGCUCGUGUAUAUAUAUUAGGUAUAUGAUGGAUAUUACUAUUUCGUAAAAAUUGUUAAGUUGUUGACUCGUGAUAAAUGUUAGAAUCUCUGUAUUUUUUGAUACAGCAAGUAUUUUUACGUGACUUUAAAUUGCAUCUAUUUAGGUUUAGAGUGGUUGAUUAGUGGUUAUGUUAGUUACGUUGCUGAUUGAUUAAGUAGAAAUUAAGUUAAACUAGAACUAUUUUUAGGCUUAAUUAUUGAAACGAAAUGUAAGUUGGAAUGUGUGAAAUUUCAUAGAGUUUGAGAAGACUGUUUGAAGAAUUAAAAUUGUUGAAGUUAAGAAUUGUGGAAGAGUAAAAGGUGAUUUAUAAGGUUAAAAUUGAGACACAUUGUAGAAUUUGAAAAAGUAUGAACAAUACGUAAAAUAUCAACAAUUGGAAGAGUAUCAAGAAUGUUAAAGGAUACUUAUGUAUGGUGGGUUGUAGCGUGAUGUGAUAUAUGAUGAUAUAUAUAUAUAUAUAUAUAGAGGGAGAGAGAGAGUAAAGGAGGGUUUGGGGGGACACGUGUCACCCUUUGGUCCCCCCAAACCCUCCUUUAAUGUAGUAGAAAGAAUAGGAAUAGAUUAUUAUCCUGCUAUAAUCUUAUAUGACUAAGUCUAGGAUCCUGUUGUGCUGAUUUGGCUUCAAAUCUUCCCUUUUCAAAUUUGAUGUUAGUGUGAUUGAAUGGAUAAUUGAUGCCUUUGGAGAUAAUCUAGUCUAUGAAAGCUCUAUGCAGGAAAUGAAAGUAAAUAUUCUUGCUCAAGAUAUCAAAAAAUGUUUUCUGAUAAAUUUUCAACUUGAAUUAUAUUUCACCAUUAAAACAACAACUACACCCAAUUAACAAUAAAAGUAGUCAAAUUUAAGGGGGCUUGAGUGAUUGGUACAGAGCAUUGAAAUUCAAUGAAAUUUGGUUUCUAGUGUCUUUAAUACCAUAAAACAUUUAUAAUGGCUCCAAUCAUCGAAUCAAAUGCCCGAACAUAGAUUUUGAGAAGGAUUUGGAUGCAAAUCCUCCCAAAAGGAUCCUAGCUUAUCUUAUAUGAAGUACUUGAAAGUUGAAACUAUUUUUGCAUAUCGAUGAUUUUAAACACGACUUUCUAGUGCGUAGGAGCUAAGUUAGAUGGAGAUGAAUACGGAGCAUAGGACAGGACACAUACUCAAACAUGGCAACUUAGCAACUCCAAGCAAUUUAGGAUAUUGAUGCGACAAGGACACAUCUAGUCAUAUACAAUAUUUAUUAAAUAUAAUAAUUUUUUACAUAAAAUUUUUAUAUUUUAUUAUGCAAAACAUCAUAAAAACCUUAAAAAAGAAGAGUAGAAAAACCAUCGUAUUAAGAGAAACUAUCUUGAAAAUAGUCUUAAAAGAUAAGAAUUUGAAAUCCUAAAAAAAAGGAUUGAACACUAGAAAGACUGAAAAGAGAGGAAAAGAAAGAAAAAAAAAAGAGAUUUUUGAGAGGAUAUCAAGCAAAGGUGGGCCAUAUGGUAGAGGAAGUGGGUGAGAUAGCAGCUAGUGACAUCAAGGAUUUAAGUAUCGUGGAAUGGGGUUAUGCCAGAAAUUUGCUGGCAUGGGCUAGCAUGGUAUGGCAUGGUGCGUGCCGGGUCGUGCCGAUGCGUGCCGGUCACAAAAAAUAUGUGUGCCGACACAUAAUGGCAUGAAAUAUUUAUUUUGUUUAGCAACAAAAUAUGCCAAUUAUUUUUUAUGUACUUUUAUCAAAUCUUUUGAACUUUAUUAAGAAAAUUACUUACUAAUUUAAAGAAUAAGAGGGUUUUGAGUAGUGCCAUCGACACGGGGGCUGUAUCGUGCCGAUAUCUUGUUGGCAUGAUACAGCACGGUGUAUACGGCCCGUGUUGAUGGGCACUUAAAUCCUUGGCUGGUGUACCACUAAUUCUUUCUUUUAUCGGAUUUUUUUUAUUUUAUGGACAAAAUAUAUAUUUUUUAAGGUGUUAAUGGGCCGGACUUCCUUAAUAGUUCUGUUAGAUAAUGUGAAACAACUGUUUUUCUCUAAAAGCUUAAGGUAACAAACAAGGAUUUAAGUGUUGUGGCACGGGGUUGUGUCGGAAAGUUGCCGGCACGGUACGGCACGGUGCGUGCCGAGUCGUGCCGAUGCGUGCUGGUCAAAAAAAUUCUUGUGUGCCGACACAUAAUAGCAUGAAAUAUUUAUUUUGUUUAGCAACAAAAUAUUCUAAUUAUUUAUUAUGUCUUUUUAUCACAUUUUUUGAACUUUAUUGAGAAAAUUACUUACUAAUUUAAAGAAUGGAGGGUUUUGAGCUGUGCCAUCGGCACGGGGUCUGUAUCGUGCCGGUAACUUGUUGGCAUGGUACAGCACGGUAGAUAUGGCCCGUGCCGACGGGUACUUCAAACCUUGGUAACAAAGAAUAGUGUUUUUAAUAUUUAUAUUCAACAAGGUCCAACUAAAUUCGCAAUAGGGUGCGCCCUAUGCAGCAUUUGAGUGGAGCAUGUGUGCUUUUAUUUCUUUUAUCAUGCUGACGCACAACGUAUGUGAGUUUUUCUUGUGUCUGCUGCGCAUCCUUUUCCAGAUGCAACUCUGACUCGGAUGCAAACUUCUUCACUAGGGAUGCAAACGGGGCGGAUCUGGGGGCGGGAGCCCCCGCCUCCCACCCCGAAUUCGUAACGGAUUAAAAAAUACAUCCCAUAAUCCAUCCCGCCUUGUAACUCGCCUCCCGCCGGCGCCCCGAAUCCGCCCCGCCAACUAAUAUUUUUUAUAAAAUUAUAAUAUUAUUAAUAUUUUGUAAAAUAUAAAAUAAUAAUUUUUAAUAAUAUUAUAUAUAUAAUUUAACAAUAUCAAUUAUAAAAAUAAAAAAUAUCAAUCACAAUUCAAAACAAAAUUCAAAAGUUUCAAAUACAUUAAAAAUGAGAGUACUAACUUAUUUGUAUUUUGAACUUUUUUGUAAAUACAUUAUUUUUUAGGAAUAUUUUUUUAAAAUAUAAAUGAUUUUCGGGGCGGAUUCGGGGCGGAUCAUGGCGGUGCGAAUUCGGGACGGGUCAAAAUUUCCCCCGUUUCCUGCCCCGAAUCCGUCUCGGAUCGUAAAAUUUACCCCAUUUUCUGCCCCAAAUCCGUUUAUUUUCUCCCUUUACUGCCCCCGUCGGGGCGGGAGCUCCACCAACCCGGAUCCGUUUGCAUCCCUAUUCUUCACAGCUGUGUCCGUGUUACCUAGCUUAGGAGUUGUAACUUUCUUAUUCAAGUUUCUUGCAAUAUAGUACUGAUUGGUGAGAUUGAGGUUUAAAGUACUUGAAGCUUUUUGUCAAGCAAUUCUUUUAGGCAUGUCGCAAGAUUGCCCAUGUUAGCCUGUGCCAAAGCCAUCCCAGCAGGUGGCAUAGGGUCGAGCUUGCAUUGUACGGACUUUUUCUCUCUUUCUAUUUUUUUUGAACUUUUGGUGUCUUUUUCAGUUUUGUUGAGUUGAGAAGCUUUACAAAGAUUUUUCAUCCUUGAAAUACAUAGAUCUUGUAAAUCUACUAAUAUUUGGAGCAAUUAAUGAGUCUCAUACUCCCAUUGCAUAAUAAGACGGAGUUUUAGUGAAAUAAUACAAAUAAGAAGAUUUCCCCCAAUUUUUGUCAUCAUUUUAGAUCUAGUUAAUCUAACCAUGGUAGUGUUUUCUCAUAAAUUUUCACCUAAUUUUGGCUUUUAUGUUCAUGCAUAUACUUUCAUAACAUAAAUAAGAUAAUUUUUUCAGUUACUAAGAUCUUUAUGACCAUAUUCUUUCUAAAUUUUGUGUGAUAACACUUGAGUCAUUCUUUUAGCUAUUAGAGAUGUCAAAACACUCUAGACUGCUAAGUUUUCAGGAAAACUUGAUAACAAAGACCGUGCCAAAAUGAAGCAGUGUGCUAGUGGUGUGCCACUAGCACAAUGGGGGUAUUCCAACAUUGGCACACCCGACACAGCAAUCUGUGGUAUGUCUAAUCCUCCUUUGUUAGUAAGUGGUUUGGGUUCUCUGUAGUCUCUGUAGCCUGACCAAAAGGUAAAUAAAACAUAAUCACAAAUAUUGGAGCAUUUACACCAUACAAACACCCAAACGGAUAGUUGAUGUGUUUUCCUGAUCAACACGAUCAGUGGUUGAACAUAGUGCUCUUUCCAUUAAUAAAAAAUUUCUGCAACACUGGAGCAGCUGCUAGUACUACUACUGUAGCUCUACGGGAGAAACCACUUCUUAUGAAUGUGCUUUUAACAGGUAAAAAAGAUUAAAUCAAAAUAUAUAUCUUGUACAUCUUUGUUAAAAAGAAACAAUGUGCAUUUCUCAAACAGAGUCAUACACUCUCCAAGUACAUAACUUAUACAACAACUAAUUAUGUCAACUGUUGUUUCUCCAUUCCAAUGUAAGAUGUCUUACCUGCUUAGAAAUGGUGAUCUUCUCUUCAUCUUCCAAUCACAUAUUGAUAAUAACUUGAUUGUUAGAUUGAUAUAUUGCAAAUUAUUUUCUUGUUCUGUAUUGUUGUUCUUUCCUCUCUUUUUUUCCGUUUUACCUUUUUCACUAGUCCUACUUUUGGCUUCAAGCAUCCAAGUUCAGAGUUUGAAGGUAGUAACGAUAGUGGCAGUCAAAACUUGGCCACAAUAACUGAACUUAGAUAAGGUGAAAGCUUGCUAUGAACAAGCCUUCUAAUAAUGUAACAAAUCUAGUUCCUUGGCGUGCCAAUGAUAUAGAGAAACAGAAAUAUUCCAUACAAAAAAUGACUCGCAAGAAAAUUUAGGAAUUAGAAUAUUGUUUUGUUUUUUCUUCUACACUUGAAGUGCAACCUAUGUGAACAGAAGUUUUAAGUUGCAUCCAGCAUGUAAUAUUUCAAGCAUAAAUUUGCUCCUCAUGACAUGCGCCAUUCUGAUUGGCCAUCAUCAUUUGUGUGCUUCAGUGCUGUACAUUGCAUUAUUUGACAUAGCACAUGCAGGCAUUUUAGGGAUCAUGUAAAAUGGGGUUAUGUAGAAUAUGUUUGACCCUUUUUUUUUGACUUGGGUCUUUGUGGAAAUAAAACCGUUUUCUCGAUUCUUCAGGUACACCUUUCAUUCAACUCCUGUUAACACUAUCAUUUUUUUUCAAUUGAGAGAGAGAGAGAGCUACUCGCUUUGUUCUUUCUUUUUUUUAAGAAAUGAAUUUAGCCAGAAAUAUGAAGCAACUACGCUUUGAACUUGGUCCCUUGGGUACCAACCAUCAAGCCCUUAGGCACUUGCGAAAGGGAUGGUUGGUAACACUUUGAAUUCUUAAAUGCUACAGUUUCUUAUGUCACUAAUUCUGAAAUCUAUUUCUUAGCAGUAUUCUUUAUUCAUUAUUCAAAAUGAAAUUGAUUAUUUAACAGGAUGGGAUCUAUAUAGAAUUGUGUGUUCCAUGGCAUCUCUAUAGUUGAAUAUAAUCAGAAUUAGACAAAAUAUACUGCAAAGAAGCCCUUAACCAUCAAAAAUUUUAUGUUAAUAUAAUCUUUUCUGCAUGCCAAAUAGUGGUAACAUUAGUAUUUUGAGAAUUACCGACGCACAAAAUUCAACCCUUGAAACUAUGAGGAACGAUGAUAUGAAUCCUCUGCUGCUUUUACUAUCUAUUUCUUAGCAGUAUUCUUUAUUCAUUAUUCAAAAUGAAAUUGAUUAUUUAACAGGAUGGGAUCUAUAUACAGACUUUUGUGUUCCAUGGCAUCUCUAUAGUUGAAUAUAACCAGAAUUAGACAAAAUAUACUGCAAAGAAGCCUUUAACCAUCAAAAGUUUUUAUGUUAAUAUAGUCUUCUCUGCAUGCCAAAUAGUGGUAACAUUAGUAUUUCGAGAAUUACCGACGCACAAAAUUCAACCAUUGAAACUAUGAGGAACGAUGAUAUGAAUCCUCUGCUGCUUUUACUAUGUUUUUUCUGUUUAAAUGUAUUUUAGGCAAUUAUAAUACGCAGAGAUGAGCUGAACUAGUAUAGCAUUAAACUAGAUAUAUGUCUGUACUGUUCUGAUUUAUUCUGGUUUAAAUGACCAAAUUUAGCAUUUCACUUAUCUCUUUAUUUGCCAUAUUAUGUCUGCCUCUCUCAUCUAAACAUUGGAAAUGUCCAUGACACAAUAAUUAGUAUUAUCGACCAAGAUCGUGGACAAGGUUAUUGCGGAACUUGAGUCAUGUGGAUUUCAGUGUUUGAAGGCAGAAGUUGGUGGGAAAGGUCUGGAAGUUUGUUUCAGCUGAUGUUCCUAGACUUGUCAUACAUUUGCAAUGUUAGUAUUUCUCGGCAAUUAUUGUGUUGGCUUUUCAUUUAUGUAUAACAAUGAAGAUCACACUUUUAUCUACAAUCCAUUGCUGUUCUAGUCAUCGUCAUGGCCGCAGUCACUGUUGACAAAUAAGAUAUUAUGUAAUAAAAUUUUCACCUAUCAUUUUCCAUGAAAUUAUGGACCUGUAAUUUGUAGCACCACCUGUCAACUGCUGCUGCAAAUGUAGUGGAAGGCAGUUGUGCUAAUUCCAUUAGGAUUGGUCAUAUACAAAUAAGUUCAAUGGUUAUAUUUGAAGUACAUCGCCUUAUUGCUAUGUUUCUGUGCUACUAGAGGAUUCGUUUACCGCUUAUUAUCAUUAUGUUUUGUUUACAUUUUCAUGCAGGUGCAUGAGUGCAUUCUGAUUAAAACUUUGGGAACUAUCACAUUUUUUUCCCACUGCUUGUAAUCUACUGAAUCCCAUCCCAUUAUGCUGAACCUUGACCAAAUUGGCUAAAAUAUGGUGAGGAAGGAUUAGGGGAGGUCCAUGUCGGGUUCCGAAGGCGUCGGAACAAGAAGUAUCGGUGAAACUUGAAGAAAGUUGGGAGCAAAUAAAACUUUUGGAAAACGAUUGUAUUUCGAAAUCUAAUUAUUUUUAUAAGAAAAAAAUUAUAAUUUUCCAAUGUUGGAAGUGUUUCACAUGUGUGAAGGAUUUUCGGUUGUGUUGGAUUUGAUUUGGAGAGAAAACGGAAUGAAAAUCGGAUUUUUAAAGCGAAAAUUAGAAGAAAAUAAAGAGGCUGAAAAUACUGAUCACAGUGUUAGGGUCCGGACCUUGUGGUAAGGUUCGGACCUUGACUGCGAAAAUGCCCGAAAUGAGGUACGGGUUCGGGGCCUUAAUAGAGGGUCCGGACCUUGCGCUGUUUGGGCCUCCACCCCACACAUGAGAGAAAAGGGGAAACCCUUCUCUCUUUCUCUCUAACACCUCUCUCUUCCUCUCUUGUAAUUCCUCCUCAAGGUUGGAGGAUUUGGUGGAGAGCAAGAUUAGAAGAAGGUUGAUGGUGGUGGGAGCUCUCUAAUGGUGGAUCAAGCUUGGAGAGCAAGGUGGCCAUGGUGAGUUUUUAGGAUUUGAGUUAGGGUUUUGUCUCAGGAUUUGAGUUAGGGUUUUGGUUGAUCCUUUAAAAUUGAUGUUUUUGGAAGUCGUAGAUGAUUCUGAACUAAAUUGGGUAAAGGUUUAUCAUGGAUUUUGGGGUUUUCUUAUAGAACUUGAAACUCUAGGAUUAGAAUUGGGGCUUUUGUUGCUAAGAGAUUUGGAACUAAAUUGAUUGUAUAAAUCUCUAAUUGAAGGGUAGUUCGACGCAAGUGACAACUCCGAUUUGGAUUAUGACGAGGUUACAACGUCUGAUUGGGAGAUUUUGCCGAAUUUGAUUCAUUAGGCUUGGGUCGAGCUGAAUCGGGUCGGAAAUCAAAUUGCUUAAAAAUCCUAACAAUUGUUAAUUAACUAAGGUUGGUGGUGCUCUCCGAAAUUGUUGGAUUUCUCCUUAUGUCUAACUCUAUUCUUUGUGCAUAUAUGUGUAUAUGUGGAAUUGUAUUUGUUUGGGUUAAAGUUAUCAUUUUUUCGUGUGAAUUACAUGCUUCCUAAGUUAAUGAAUAGACAAUUGUGAUCGAGAACUUUACAGUUAGGAUACAUGAGUAUAGUGCCAUGUGAAUCGUUGUAAUAUAAGAAUUAGUUGUUUGGACGUAGAAAACAUAGUGAAACACUAGACCUCAUUGUGAGUGUUAAACAUAAACCUAGUGAUGGAAAUAUAGAUUGAGUAUCCUAUUGUGCAAGUAAAGAAUAUGAAUAUUGUGUGUCAUGAUUGUACAAGUGAGUUUGUUGCCGUAGUUGCACAGGAUUUGAAAUGAGCAUGUUAGGGAUUAGUAGAUCCCCGGAUGUUGCUACCCUAGUUAGUAGGGUGUCGUCGAGAUCAGAGGACUAGAUUGUACUCACAUUGUCUAUUUGGCUUGUGAUGGUUGCGACACUACAAGCAGUGAGUUUCAGAGUUGUCACAUAUCGGUUAAGCCGAAUUCUUCCCAGCAGGUGGCCCCAGAUGGGUUAAGCGAAAAUUCUUCUCAACUGUUGGCCCUGGUAUUGUGAGUGGGCUUGACCUCCGGGUGAGCCGGUAUGAUUGGGUCGUGAGGUUAAAAAGGAAGUCAGCUGAGCAUGGUAGUCAUGUCUUUGAUUACCUUGUGAAGUCUUGUAGUAGCAUCACAUGACAGGUGACUGGUCGAUUAUGCCUCCUCUGUAGACAAUCUGUGUUGGGUUGAGCGGAAUUCUCCCUAGUAGACGAUCUAGAAGAGGGAUUUGGGCUUGACUAUACGGUGAGUCGGUAAAAUUGUGUCAACAGAAAUAGAUAGCCAAAUUAGCAUAUUGGGCCUUGGAACCUAUUUCAUUUUGCAUAGGCAUAGUAGUGCUUGUGUUCAUUUUAGCUUUAUGCAUAGUAUAGUUGUUAUACUGCUUUCCUAUUCUAUUAUUUACUUUUGCCUUAAUAGACUUAGUGGGAAAGUCGGUGAGGUCGGCGGCCGAACCCAUUGAAAACUUCUUUUAGUUCUUACCCCCUAUUUUCAAGAGCCAACCAUUAGCGGAGCAGCAUCGGACCGAGGCGUGGGCGUUGUGCCCUAGAUAGCCGGGUCACCAAGUUUAGGUUGCCCUAUGUAUAAGCAAAUUAAUAUAAAUGUAUUUUUGAAAGAAAAAAAUGUAAUUGAUAACGAGGUUGUAUUUUGAGGAAGAACUCGGGUAUUAAAUUUGAGAAUUGUAUGUAAAAUGUGUAUGUUCAAGUGUUGAAAUAGCUAGGUUUAACUUUCUUGCUCUCGUGAUAUGCCUUCGUGUAGAACUGUAUUAUGUUGUUUUUCCUGGGUGAAAUUCAAUGUACUUGUUUUGUUUAUGCUUUGGGCGGAUAAGGAAAACUCCGUCCGUUCAGCGGUUUGUGUACAUGCCCGAACCGACCCAAGUGGCGGUGCCGUGGCGUAAUAGAUAAGAGUGGUAUCAGAGCGUAGAAACAGUCUAGGAGGACCUGGGAAAACUUAGGUUUGGAAAACCGUAAGAACCUAGGCUCGUGAGUGGACGGAACUUAUGGUGAAAGUGAAAUGAUUGGGUCAAGAUGUGUCUCAAAUAGUAUUUUGGAGGUGGAUUAAAAGUGUUGCAACUACUCUAUUUAGAUGAUCAUGUUGGCUGCAGACAACAUGAUGUUGAAAGUAGAGUAAGGGUGCCCUUCUAUGACUUUCGCUUGAUUGGGUCAGCUAUUGUGCGCGACGGAAUUAAGUUCGAUCAUUGGAUCGCCUAGGUACGUGCGUUAUCCCUCGAGUGACGAUAGAAGUUACUUGGUGGAGCGGAUCUUGCGGAAGAUUAGAUAGCCCUCCGAUGUUGCGAACGAAGUGUCGCUAAGGGCAUGAGGCUUCCCGUUGUGGUCGAGAUGUUUGGUCUUGAGGAGCCAAUGUGUGUCUUGACUUGGUGUUAGGACUGUAGUUGUGGAAAUUUGAUAAUUCUCAUCUUAGUGGACCUGGAGACGUUUGCCUCAGCUAAGAUGGGUAAUGGAUGCAAUGCGUGACCCUGAGUGAUGGAUGUGGUGCACGAUCCUUGAUAAUAGUUGCAAAGGCACGACCCAUGGGGAAACGGCAUAGGUAAGACUGGACUAUGGUCGGAUAACGAGAAUGAACUAGCAAAGUGGCGACGGUUGAAAAUGGAGCCGAGUUGAUAGGGUCGGUAAGUGGAACAUUCCGGGAGGAUGGCCUCGUUUUUCCAAGGCAGGGAAACAUGAUGUGACUCGUAGGAGCAUGUCAGUUCAGGUUGGUUAUUAAGUAUAGCAUGUUUUACACACUAUAUUGAAUGUGUUAGCGGUUAAUUCUCUACGGGAUUUUAAGUUGAGUGGGUGCGAGGAUUGAGAUUUUUUCUGUAUAGAUAAAUGCACUGUUAAUGAUGUUUUUAUGUAUAUUUUAUUUCUAAAAUAGCUGGUCAAAUUUCAGCGAAAAAUGAAUUAAAAUAAGGCUGUUAUGCGAUUUUUAUUAUUUACUUAAGUGAAUAGUAACUCGUGUUUUCGUUUGAGGCCAUUGAGUGUAAGAUGGCUCUGUCACAUACCGGUACUUUGUUUUGGGUUAUCCAAUAGGCCGUUUUGUUGGUCCGACUAUGCUGGAGUUAACGACGCUGACGGGUUUUGAGUUUAACACAUAGUUUUCGAGAAAAGUGAAUUUUAUCGCAAAAAAGACAUUUAUUUCUCAUUAUUUUUGCUUUUUAUAACCAUAUGGUGCACCAUUUUGCGUGAAAACCCAUGGGCGGGGAUCUUUCUGCGAGAGAUGGCAGUGGAGAGGGACCAGAUUGUAAUUAUUGAGGAUUGGAGGAGUUUUGAGUGAUUAUUCUUUUAAAUGUCAAUUAGGAUUAGGAUUAAGAGUAAUUAGGGUUAAAGGAGCCUAGAAACCCUAGCCCUAACCCCUAAUCUCCUCAUACUUGGUCCAUCAGAGAGAUUGUUGCCAUUGUCCUCGCUGCCGCCGGCCGCCGGAGAAGAAGAAAGUCCCAAUUCUUCUUUUCCUCUAUCUCUUUUUCUCUCUCCAAUAGCCUUGUGAAGGGGGUGACCUAAGUCUCCUUGCAACUAGCCACCAUCGACUGAGACCGCCAGCGGCGUCACCACCGGCCCCCGGCGCCCGCCCCUGUGCAACCCUCGGUGCUGCCCUGCCCUGGGGAGCUACCGCGGCCAAGGGCAAGGCCGCAGACCCCGUGCGACCGUGGGGAGCCACCCGACCGACGCCGCCGCACCGCGACGCCUCAUGUUGUCGCUGUCGGUCCCAGGGAGGCCACCGACGCCAUCCCAGCUACCCCCGAGCCGCCGCGGCGAUGUUGAGCUCAGCCCUAGCCGCGAGACUGCUUGAGAGCGCUACUGCCGUGCCGCACCGCCGCUGCCUCCCGCCGCCGGCCAAGGCCACCAAUCACCUCCCCUGAGUGCGGUGACCCUUCCCUAGCCGGAGCCUGCCCUGCCGUGCCACCAGCUGCUCCUUGCUAAAAGCCUUAGCUCGACUUGAACUAAAACCAGGGGCUAAUCUUGCGCGAUCUUCGUUUUUCAGCCACCAAUGACUUCGCCGAGCAUCGAAAGUGUGAGCACCGCACUUCUCGGUUCCUGUGGAGUCCCGUGCUCACCUUCUCUGUGAUCAAUGAAGUUCCAGUGCUCGCGAUGAACUCGGCCGUUUCGGGAUCAAGCAAUCAGAGGAUUUUCUCGUUGUUUUGGGCCUUUUCGGUCAUCGGUUGCGCUCCGGACAAUGAGCACGAGCAUUGUUGCAUCAAGACGAAUCACAUUGACUAGUUGGCUGGAUCCGUUGCGACGCGGAUUGGGGUAACGAGCUUGAAACUUGAUUCUAUGUAUUAUUUGAUUAACGGUUAGUGCACUAGUUGAGUUGUUUGUGAGUGUUAUAAAGUGGGAGCCCUAUGCUCUGCCUCGGACAAUGUGAAAAUUGUUUGUGAGUGUUAUAAAGUGGGAGCCCUAUGCUCUGCCUCGGACAAUGUGAAAAUGCUAUUAGCCACCUCAUGACUGAUCGUCAAAGGUCCGGGAGCCGUGUGGAGUGAAAACGAGGUUCCAGGGCAUCGUUUGGGCGAAAUUCGUCGAUCGGACGUGGGUUGUUUUGUGGGUUUUGAUGUUCUAGCAUUAUGGAUAGCUUGAGAACCCCACCAUGCCUCGUUGGCUGGUUGGAACCUUGCUGGUGCGAAGUACAGACCAGCGAUGGAUCCUACGUGGGUUUCGGAGUAAAAAAUGAUGAUUUCCUGGAACCCGGUACGCUGGAUUUUAGGGUUUUUGCACCUGGAUCGCACUGCUUAGCGUGCGAAUGUACUAACACCCAAAAGUGAGUGUUUUGGGACAGUGAGGAAAGUUAAAUGACUUUCGGAGUGUUUCAAAACACUUAGGGGCUUAAUGGAAGCCCGAAGUCCGAAGAUUGGGCGGUUCCGAGCGCAGUUUCUUGUUGCGUGGGUUGCUGUUGUUCGCAGCAGGGUAUGAGCCUUAUUGGCUGGUUUUGUGUGAGGUUUCAUACCUCUGGUCAUAGCAAGAGGGUUGCGGGUGGUUCCGGUGUCGAAAUGGGCAUCUCGGGAAACAAACUGGUGAUUUUUGGGAUUUCAAUUUUUUGUUUAGGCGCACUACUAGUGCGGCUGCCCCAAUAACAUUAAAAUGAUGUGUUGGGACAGCGGGUGAGGUAGGAUAAGUGUGGUACUCUUUUCGUGAGACCUCGUGGGUUGGGGUGGUUUUCCGACAAGUUGGCGCGACAAUCGAGCAAUUUUUCGGUGACCGUUGAAUGGGAUUCGAAAAUUCGAUUGUUCACCUAUUUGGAUUCCUAUAGAAUUAUAAGCUUCUGUAAUUACUGAGUUUGGGCUCAUUACAAUUUUGGUUGGGACUUUGCAUAGAUUCGGACUGCGAGUGGCAUUGAUGUGAGGUCGACGACCCGAUUUCAUUCUAUGGUACAGGUGGGUACUUCGAUCCGAAGUUCGUAAAGUGGUGCCGACUCGGUGAUUUCUAUCCCUUUUAUCUCCUUUCAUUUACUUGAUACUGGUUGAGCUUUCAUACAUUUACUUGACUUCGUAGCUAGUUGCUAUACACCCACUCUUAUAUCAUAUUAUCGUAAUUUAAGUGGUAGAGCGAUAUUUUUUGGUGAUUGAGUUAUCUGUUGUAUGAUUAUAAUAGAUGAUCUUGAUAUUAGUGACUUUAUGAUCGGUGACAUUCUUAGUUAUCUAUUUCAUGAUAUGACAUUAGUUGACACUCGUUCUCGGUGACACUUCCAGAUGUGUAUUGUAUGAUAUGACAUUAGUUGACACUUGUUGUCAGUGACAUUCCUAGAUGUGUAUUGCAUGAUAUGACAUUAGUUGACACUCAUUGUUGGUGACACCUCUAGAUGUAUAUUGCAUCUUAUGACAUUUGUUGACCUUGUGAUUGGUGACACUUCUAGUGGUUUAUUGCAUGACUUGACAUUAGUUAACCUGAUGGUUGGUGACACUCUUAGAUAGAGCUGGACUUGAUUGGUCGGUGACUCUUUGUGGGUUACUCUUUCGGUAAGUUGCCGUUGUUGGCUAUUGAGGAUAUUACAGGUCGUGAGCAUCUUCACGUACACCAGCGGUCUGAUCUACCGCAAAAGGAUGUUCUUUUCCAAAAAAAGUGGCCGUACUUUGGACCUGUGAGCGCUAUGAGGUGCUUGUCAGGAUUAUAUGCCAAGUGGACGAGCAGAAUAUGAUUUAGCCUGAGGUCUUUAGACCAGUAUCGCAGUUGACAUCGUUGUUGGCAUUAUUGAUCCAUUUGAUGCAUUGGUGUACUCUAUUAUUCUUUACAAUAGCUUAUAGUUAUGUCUUGAUUAGUAGUUGUAGUUUCUUUCUGGUCAUUAUUGCUACUAUUUCGAUGCUCCUACUUGUUAUGUCUAUUUGUCUACUCUAUCUUAUAGUAGCAGUUAUUGUUGCGUUUAUUACCAGUUGUUAUUCCAUUGCUAUUGUACCUGAUUCACUUGUUUACUACUGUUGGUUGUCUCUUCCGUCUGCCGGUGAAUACAGCUUGUCUUCGUCGACUUGCGGUACCCAUUGAGAGGGGAGACGUGUUUACAUGUUCUCACCGCUGACUAUUUUUUUAGGUUAACAUUAGCGGUGAGGGUCGGGACGGUGCGUGAGGACGAUACUAGAUAGUUAUGUUUCAAAUCUAUCCGUUGUUGAUAUGUAUUAUCUUUCUACUGGAUUAGUUCGGGAUCGUCUGCUGGACAGAUACUUUAGUCCAUAGGAAAAUACUUUAGUCCAUGGGCAAAUACUUUAGCCCAUCACGUGACAACCUCCGGAGUGCACUGUUUGGGUGGAGCGACCACCACCAAGCUCAAAACAGACUAGGUGAGUAUGAUCUGAUCCUCCUUUAGAGGAUUCAACCACAGACAAUGUCACACUUUAACUUUAACUAGCUCUUUAUGCUAGUUGCAAUUUCAUUUCUCUAUGCUAACCAAAUCUCUAGUUAGAAUGUCACCAAGUUCACUAUUGUUAUAGUCCAUACAUUCAUAGAGUUCUAUGUUCACAUUCUAAUGUUCACAUGUUCUCACUGUCGAUAGGGAUUCAUACUUUCACUUGCACAAUGCCAAUACCCUAUAAUGCAUGACUACAAAUAUAAAUAUGCUCAAUGAAUUAUCAUAGACAUAAAAGGUGAUUCAAAGAUUUCGGAUAGCACCACCCACCUGUAGUGGUGUCAAUGAGCUAAGAUCAAUGUCUCGGAAUGCGUUGACAACUAUUUCUUGCAACUCAGUGCAAAUCGAACUAGAACGGUCUCUACCGUAAGUAGCGUGUCGUCGCCCUGUCGGAAAGUCAAUUUAUACUUUCGAGCAUGUUUAACUUUCAUUUAUAAAGGAUUAAAGGAAUUUAAGCUAGAGUCAUAUUCUCAUAUUUUUCAAGUUAACAUUUCCAUUCCUCAUAAAAUGUCAACUCAAAGAAGAUUUCAGCAUUAAGCUGAAAUCUCACAUCAUGCUGUAUUUUCAGCAUUAGUUCAAGUACUACAUUCAGCUUCUAAUUAGCAUUUUAUAGAAAAUAAGUAAUUGAUCCUUAAUCCAAAUUUGAAUAACUAUGUUACCUCAAGUUCAGCUGAGCUACUAUCAAUUCUGCAGCCUUUUUGUCAACUUGGAACAUUAAGAAACUCACUCAAGGAUCAACUUCAGCCAUACUUCUCACUUCGGGUAGCUCCAAUAAGCCUUUACUCCAUUUCGGCCAAUACCAACAGCACAAAGUCCAUAUAAGCAUCAAACUUUAAGGUAAAUAAUUCAGCUCAACUAAGUAUGGAAUCAAUCUUACCUUAAUUUGGGCUUUCUCCAAGUUUCAUUCAGCAUCAACUACUCAAAGUCCCAAAUCUCAAUCUGAAAUUUCAGCAAUAUGGAAUCUUUUCAUAAUUCCUCUCUAAAGCUAGUAGUUUGACCCUAAUCAACUACUAAACAGAAUUACCUUCACUAGAUGCUGAAUUUGACCUGCUUACAGCAUCAAUUAGGUCACCCCUGCAUUUCGACAGCACCAGCAGCACCAACAAUAUCAACUUCUUGCUCUCAGCUGCAAGAAUUUCCAUAUGGUGAUCUUUUCCAAGGUAAUUAACCUAUAGAAGAAUAAGUACUAAUCAAGUUUACCUUGAUUAGUUGCUGUCCCAAGUUGUUCAGCAACUCCAGCAGCAAGAAUUCUUUGCCUUGCGGCUCUCUCUCAAGGCUGAAACAUCAAGGCCAUCAGCACCAAUGACACUUUAAUUUCUCUUCAGCAGCAGCCCCAACUCAGCAACACAUCAAUCCAGAAGCUCACAUCUGAAUUCGAAGCUCUCCAACAGCUUCCUUCUUUAACUCCGCAUGGUCUCUUUUCAGUUCCACAUCAAGAAAAACUUAAUUUGCAAGCCUCAAUGCUGUUAUCUCAAUUUUUUCAAGCUGCAACAGCAAGAAAUUCACAUAACAAUCCUUUCCAAAGUAACUAACCUAUAUAAGAAGAAAUACUAAUCAAGUUUACCUUGAUUAGAUGCUAUUCCAGGUGAUAUAGCAACUCUAAUCAGCAAAAACUUCUUGCUUGGAUCAGGUUUUCUUUUCAGCCACAAGUCUCCAAGGCUGUCAGCACCAAGUUCUUCAACUCUUCUUAGCUUAGAGAGAGAAGGAGAAGAAAAUAAAAGAUAAGGAAUGAAGAGAGAUGACCCUUCAGCAUCUGGACAUGUGUAUCCCACUAAGGGUGAAGAGAUAAUGCUGUAAAAUUGCACUUUGGCCCCUCAAAAUGCUGAAAUUGCAUUGCUGGACAAAUGCUGCCCGCAAUUGCUAUACCGGUACAAGAAUGUGUACCGGUACAGGACAGCAGCAGCAGCAGCAUCAACAGCUGCUUCGAUUCCUUGUUUCUCACUUCUAAUCCAUUCUAAUUUCAUUCCAACACUUCAAAAACAUUCCAAAUGAACAUCCCAAGCUAUCAAAUUAAUUUGGGAGCAAUUAAUUUCAAAUUUGCAUCAAUUUGCUCAUUUUGACCAAAUCGACUAAAAUUUCAACAUUCGAGUUACAAUGGCAAUUGGAUGUCUUUAGCCACUCCAAUUCCAUUCUUAUCUAUUCUCACAUUUCCAAAACCUGUCACUUGAUAUUCUCCAGCCACUAAUUAAGUUUAGAAAUACUCAAUUUCCAUUUUAGCAUUAUGGUGACCACUUUGAUCACAAUUAGCUUGUAAUCAAAAUUCAGCCUAUUACAUUUACGGUUUUAUUAGUGGAUUUCAGUGUUAUACUUAUCCCUCUGUUGUAAAACAUAGUUGUUUACUUUGCUUUGAUAUCGUUAGAUCCUUUGUUUAUCUGCCUUAUUUAUCGUUUUGUUUUAGACGCCUCAUAUGUUUUAGACAUAUGGCGGGUCUGGGCACGCGCCGGGCGGCCUUCCGCUGGGUCCCGGGGCGUGACACUAUUCCACAGAGCCGAGACCGAGCGCGCUGGCGAGCGACUGCUGUAAAGGUAUCGCACCGUAGUCAGAGGCCACCAGAGUUGGGUUAUAUUUUGUUAGUAGCUACCCUUUUAUCAUCUUUUGUAUUUGAUGAUUUAUGAUGCUAAUGUAUAGAACAGAAAUGGAAAAGAAUGUAAUGUUUAUUUUGAGCAAAUGUGAUGUAAAAAGAAAUGAUGCGAAAACUAUGUAAAGAAUUGCUUAUGAAAAUGAUAGAUUCUUGUAUGCGAUCAAAAAGAAUCAUAGUACUAGUUGAAUGCUUAGUUUCCUAUCUUUCACUCAUGGCUAUUGCUUACCCUCGUGUAAGCCGUUUGUGUAUGUUUUCGCUAUUGCACUUCUCGUUUGAAAUUAUACAAGUGAUGAGCCUUGGGCGGAUAGGGAAAAUUCUGUCCGUUCGGCGUCUGUUUGACGUGCUCGGGCCGGCCCAAAUUGGUAUCGGUCCCCGGGACGUGACGUCAAGAGCCGUUGUGGAGAGACAUAGGGUAGAUGAAUCUUGAGAUUGUGGCCUCGGAGAUCCCGUCUAUGCUUAUGGCUCUCUUUGUCCAACCGGCCUUGUUGGAAAGGAUUAAAGGAUUGCAACCCGCGGACCCAAAUCUCCAAAAGGUGCGGCGAGACAUCGAAAGUGGACGUGGCGGUGAGUUCAGCGUUGACGCCGAGGUUGCACUUCGGUUUCAUAAUCGGUGGUGCAUGCCUGAAGACGAGGAGGUCCGGAAGUUGAUACUGCAAGAAGCGCAUCGGACUCCCUAUGGUAUCCACCCGGGCGGCACCAAGAUGUAUCAUGAUUUAAAAAUGCAUUAUUGGUGGCCGGGAAUGAAAGCCGAUAUCGGACGCCAUGUGGCGCUGUAACACACUGGACCUGUGCAAAUUGCGAGGUUCGAGUGUUUGAUGUGGACUCCGAACUUUUCCACACUUGGUGGAAGGUUGUAGAUGGUAUUCCGACCUAAAAGUUCGAUUUCUAGAAUUUUGGCUUAGUCCUGAGAGUUUUCACUCUUGGGGACCGGUAACUGGUGGGAGAGACCGGUCCCCCCGGAGCAGUGUUGCGGCACUCUUGAGGGAACCGAUCCCUGGUAGGGAGAGACCGGUUUCCGAACGUUGGUUUUGCGGGACGAACCGAGAGACCGGUCCUUGGCAAGGAGAGACCGGUCCCUCUGGGCGAAAACUGCCCAGACCCGGGCAGUGUGCUGUUUGGAUUGUUGAGGGGCUUAUCAGGAUUUUGUUACAUUAGAAGGCUUUUAGAGCCUUUCUCUUCUCUCUUUCCCUCAUUUCUCCCGUUUACACUCAUUUUAGAGAGAAAGAGAAGGAAAAGAAGAAGAAGGAGAAGGAGAGGAGCUUGCUUGGAGGUCUUGGAGCAUCAUCUUCUUCCCCUCAUUUCUCACCUUUGGUGGCUUUGAGCUUGCGGUUGGAGCUUUGUGGAGGAUCAAACUCCAACCCUACUUAGUUUAGAGCUUGGAUUGGAGCUUCUCUUGAGGUUGGUAGCUUAUAUUUUUCAUUUAUUACAAGUUUUUCUAGAUUCUACUAGAUGAAACCCUAGAUUUUAGGAUUUAGGGUUUAUUUUUGGGGAUUUUUGAUUUGAGGGCUUUGAAACCUAAUUGAUGGGUUUAGAACCUUUAUUUAGGUUGGAUUUGAAGAACUCUAACUCCCAUUUGGAGCUUGAGAGAGAAUUUUUCACCUAGAUGAGUUUUUCUCUACUUUAGCCUAUGUUGCUUAAUAAUGGAGCUUAGGGUUGAUCGUAAGGUUCGUUUGACUCUCUUUUCUAUACCUUUAGGAUACUAGAAGAGUGGCGAACACUUUCGUCAGAGCUUACGAAGGGUUUCGGUAAGUUCAGUGGGUUUGACUUCAUGAAAUCGGGAUGAAAUGGCCCCUAAGUAUUCUAUACUUGUCGUGACGUCAAUUUGAUUGCAUAUUCAUGUUAAAUGAGAUUUAUGUGAAUUUUAGAACACUUAAACUACAUGCCUUAUGUAUCAUGAAAAUUUCACUCUAUAUAGUAGGGCAUUCGGGGCAUUUUGCAUGUAUAUGAGGAGUGUUCGUGUUAGCGACUUGAAAAUGUCUCUUAUGUUAGAAUUUGCUCAAAUUAUGCAUUUAUAAAUAAUAAACUCAUGUUUGGACUUAGUGGACAAAAUGCCAUAAAGAGGCACUUGACAUAGUAAACUGUGAAACUACAACAUAGAGACAUAGUGAUAGGCCAUUGAACAUCUACUAUAUUCCAUGUUAGAGACAUGAUGACAGAGAGAUAGGCCAUCGAGAUACUUGAUAUAUUCCAUGUUUUUAGACAUGAGGACUUGGUACUUGAGAUAGAUCUUUCGCUUGCUUGCCAUUGUGCUCAUUCGCACAUGCUUGUGAGGGUCGCUCCCUACAAGCCGGCACUCCAGAGAUAGCCAUCACGACAUAUGCUCGCUCGUGCGGGAUUGGGCGCCGAAAUUGGAUGCCGUGGGGGAGGCUCAUCCCUAGAGUGGGGAUGUUGACUACACGGGGCCAUUAGGCACGGCGCAGGCCGGACUACCCACGGGUAGGUCCUAUAGGAUUGGAUCUUUGAUGACUUAGCAUAACGACUGGACAUUGACUAGAAUAGUAAACAAGACAUUUUACUAUUUAGCUUGUGGACAUCAUGCUAGUGAUACUUUGGUACAUUCAUAAUAGAAUAGUCCUUUUAUUACUUAUGCAAAUUCAUGCUAAGUAGAGAUAUUAUGUUGUAGUAAGUUUACAUGCUUACUUACAUAUCGAUUCUAUUGCUUUUAUUGUUACCUUCAUGUUUAGCUCUUUUGGGCCUAGCGGUGCUUUCACUGAAGUCAGUAAUUGCCCACUGGGAACUAUAUUUAAUAGUUCUCACGCUUUCUGUUUUAUGUUUCCUUUUCAGAGCCUUCGACACCGGCGGAGGCACGGGAUCGCUCCAAGGGUGUCGCCUAGCUAGAUAGAGGGGAGCUACUUUUGAGCUUUGGUGGUUUACUCUUUCUUUUAUUGUAUUAGAGAGUGAGAGAGAGAUUUUGAGUACCUUAUAUAGAGAGACCACCUAUGUGCUUGUUUAGCUUUUGUAUUUGGGAUUCCUGUUGUAUUUAUUUUAUGGUUUAUUUAAUGAUUUUAGCUCUCUACUCUUCACACUGUUUUAGAUACUAGAUGUUGUUCAAUGCUCUGAUAUAUCUAGAUCUUCUUUAUUUUCUUUAUUUAUCGUUUUGUUUUAGACGCCUUAUAUGUUUCAGACAUAUGGCGGGUCUGGACAUGCGCCGGGCGGGUUUCCACUGGGUCCCGGGGCAUGACAGAUUAGUUUGGUAUCAGAGCCUAGGGUUGAGUCUUAGUGGACCUGGCAAACCUUAGGCCGGUUGGCCUAUUGGAAAUAGGCUCGUGAGAGACGAGGUCUAUUUGACUUGUAAGCGAAAGUAUCUUGAUUGGGUAUCUUGAUAACUCUAGAAAGUGGAGUUAAAUUGAAGUGUAUAGCUCCUAACUUCGUGGAGGGUUACGUUGGCAGCCGACAACGUAACAUCGGGAGUUAGUAGCACACUUCAUUACUUUCGUAUGAUUUGGGGUAUUAUCUGCUUGAGCGGGGAUACGAUAGCGUGGGUUACUAACUUGUGCUUUUAUGAUGUUGUAGUUAGAUGCCGAUCACUCGCUCCCAAUCUGCCGGAGCGGAUAAUGCGGCACAUCUUGAGGAGGUCGAGACCUCCGCUACCUCCGAAUCUGGCGAGGUCCAGGAGUUGAGGAGCCAGCUUGCGGCCCUCACCGACCUAGUGACUCAGCAGGUGGAGGCAGCCCGACAACAGACUGAGGCGACGUGCCGGCAGAAGGCGCGGAUGAAGCGCCUGGAAGGCCUUCUUCUGCAGCAGGCGGCAGCUUCCAGGGAAUCCCAGGCCCCUACAUCGCCAGCACCAGUUGUGGACGUCGCGCCGAGAGCGCCGUCCCCGAUUGGAGCUGUUUUUCCCGUGUUGGUCAAGGGAGCGGAGCGGGACCGACUGAUGGAGCGCCUCAACGAGUUUAAGAGGAGCAGUCCUCGGAUAUUCGACGGUGAGAAGGUCGACCACUGGAUCAUGGAGAAGUGGCUGAUACAUAUGGAGAAGCUCUUUCGCGACACCUUCAUGGAGGAGAGAGAUCGAGUUUGGCUCGCCACACACCAUUUGGACGGCGAGGCCUACCGCUGGUGGUUGGAUCUCCAGGAGAACCCCAGCACUGAUUUGGCGGCUAUCUCGUGGAAGAAGUUUAAGGAGCUUCUGUUGGCGCACUACUUUCCGACCAGCGUCAAGAGGAAGAUGGAGCAGGACUUGCGCAAUUUGCGCAGGGAGACAGGACAGUAGCCGAGUAUGAGCAGGAGUUUUCUCGGCUUCUACACUACGUGCCUUUCAUCGUGCGGGAUGACGAGGACAAGGCCCGCAUAUUCGAGCGAGGGUUGCGACCGUCGAUUUUUCGAUUUGUGCAAUCCUCUAACCUCCAAACCUAUCGGGAGGUGGUGGAUCGUGCGCUCAUCGUGGAGAGCGGCGCGGCGGAUGUCCAGGAGCGGCGAGAGGUUAUGGAUAAGGGUAAGGCCAAGAGGCCUACGGCUGAGGGUGCGAGCCAGACGCACUCUAGGAGGCCGCCGAAGCAUCCGAGGAGCCAGCAGCGUGGGCGUGGCUCGGCGACCCACCGUGGAGGUUCUGACCGACACCGACCUCCCCAAUGCGUGAUCUGUGGUGGUCCCCACAUUCCACGGCAGUGCCAGCAGCGGGGAGGGAGGUGUUUCCAGUAUGGCCAGGAUGGCCACUUUCGGACCUAGUGCCCGAGAGGUUCUUCACCGGCACCGUCGACUGCAUCGACACCGGCUCUACCAGCCGCUAGCCACGGGACUCCAUCGACACAGUACCAGCUUGGGUGGCCACCCGUCCAGCGCCAGAGCGAGGGAUCUCGACAGGCUCUGAGUGGGCGUUUGUAUGCGGCUAAGACCGAGGAGGCGGCAACAGCCGAGGAUGUGGUUGCAGGUAUCAUUUUACUUGAUGGCAUUAGAGUUCGUGCUUUAUUUGAUACCGGUGCAUCGCAUUCGUUUAUAGAUCGGCUGUUUGCCGAGUUGCAUGGCAUCCCUUUGGUUUCUUUGUUGCAUCCGGGACAUGUCGUAGUACCCGACCACACUCUGGAUAUUAGAGAGCAUUGCCCCUGUUGCCCUAUUCGGGUAGGAGAUUGGAUUAUGCCCGUGGACUUGCUAGCCUUGCGCAAGUUGGGAGAAUUUGAUGUGGUCCUGGCUAUGGAUUGGCUAACCAAGUAUUAUGCCACGAUUGAUUGUAAGAAUCGCACGGUUACCUUUAGAGAACCGGGACAGACUGAGGUUGUAUUUAGAGUAUGCCGGAGUUCGCUUUUCGCGACGUCGAUCAGCUCGUCUCGAGCUAAGCAGCUGAUCAGCCGAGGAUGUGUAGCCUACUUGGCUAGUAUUGUGUUGAGGAGCGAGGAUGACACCCCUAGGAUUGAGGAUAUCCCGGUGGUACGGGAAUUCCAGGACGUGUUUCCAGCUGAGCUACCGGGUAUGCCACCCGAUAAGGAGAUCGAGUUUGUGGUAGAUCUCAUCCCUGGGACUACUCCAAUCUCGAAGGCACCCUAUAGGAUGGCACUAGCGGAGCUAAAGGAGCUGAGGGCACAGCUAUAGGAUCUGUUGGAUAAGGGCUUCAUUCGACCGAGCGUCUCACCGUGGGGAGCGCCAGUUCUGUUCGUCAAGAAGAAGGACGGAUCACUUCGCCUAUGCAUGGACUAUCGUAAACUUAAUAAAGUCAUGAUCAAGAACAAGUAUCCAUUGCCGAGAAUUGACGACUUGUUUGACCAGCUUCAAGGAUCGUGUGCGUAUUCCAAGAUAGACUUGCAGUCGGGAUACCACCAGUUAAAAAUCAAACCCGAGGAUGUAUCGAAGACGACUUUUAGAACACGGUAUGGACACUAUGAGUUCACAGUUAUGCCGUUCGGGCUUACUAAUGCUCCGGCAGUCUUUAUGGAUCUGAUGAACCGUGUUUUCAAGCCUUAUUUGGACAGGUUCGUCGUGGUGUUUAUCGACGACAUUUUGGUUUAUUCCCGAAGUGAUGCAGAUCAUGAGGAACAUUUGAGAUUUGUGCUCCAAGUACUUCGGGAAAAGGAGCUUUAUGCCAAGCUGAAAAAGUGUGAGUUUUGGCUCCGAGAGGUAGCCUUCCUUGGGCAUUUAAUAUCGGGAUCGGGUGUAGCCGUGGAUCCUAAGAAGAUUGAAGCAAUCAAGAAUUGGCCGAGACCGACGAGUGUCACGGAGAUACAGAGUUUCCUUGGAUUGGCCGGUUACUACCGGAGAUUUGUAGAGGGGUUUGCUAAGCUAUCUACUCCUCUCACGAGGCUUACGCUUAAAGGUGUUAAGUUCAUCUGGAAUGAUGCGUGUGAAAGAAGUUUCCAAGAGCUGAAGCAACGACUGACGACCGCACCUAUCCUAACCCUGCCAGUUGCUGGAAAAGGGUAUGUUGUUUACAAUGAUGCAUCUCUUAACGGAUUGGGCUGUGUUUUGAUGCAGGACGACAAGGUGAUCGUGUAUGCUUCUCGCCAAUUGAAGGAAUAUGAAAAGAAUUACCCUACUCACGAUUUGGAGUUGGCGGCCGUAGUCUUCGCAUUGAAGUUAUGGCGCCACUACUUAUAUCGCGAGCGGUGUCAGGUAUACACGAAUCACAAGAGCCUCAAAUACCUGUUCAUUCAAAAGGAGUUGAACUUGAGACAGCGUAGAUGGCUGGAGCUGCUCAAGGAUUAUGAUCUGACGAUUCUACAACACCCGAACAAGGCUAACGUGGUGGCGGAUGCGCUAAGUAGGAAAUCAACGAAAAACUUAGCAAUGCAUGUUGUUAGUCAACCGCAGUUGAUCGAGCAGAUGAAGCGGUUGGAGUUGGAAGUGGUGAUUCCGGAUACGCCUUUGAGAUUGAUAACCUUGGUGGUGCAACCUACACGUUUGGAUAUAAUUAAAGAAAAGCAAGUAUCCGAUUCGAAAUUGCAAAAGGUUCGAGAUAAAAUGGACAAUGGUUGCACCGGCGAUUUCCUUGUGGAUGACCUAGAAUUGAUGCGUUUUCGUGGAUGAAUUUGUGUACCAGCGGAUUUAGGAAUUAAAGAGGAUAUUCUUCAAGAAGCAUACCGGGCACCGUAUGUUAUAUAUACGGGUGGUACCAAGAUGUACAAGGACUUGAAGUUGCUUUAUUGGUGGCCCGGGAUGAAAAAGGACGUUGGCGAGUUCGUAGCUCAUUGUCUAACUUGCCAAUAAGUGAAAGCUGAGCACCGAUUACCCGCGGGAAAGCUUCAGAGUUUACCUAUUCCCGUGUGGAAGUGGGAGAAGAUCACCAUGGACUUUGUGACUGGAUUGCCUCGCUCUUAAGCCGGGCAUUAUGCUAUAUAGGUGAUCGUGGAUAGGUUAAUGAAGUCGGCGCACUUCAUACCUAUUCAUACUACUUGGACCGGAGAGAAGCUCGCACAAGUGUACCUUGAUGAGAUUGUGCGACUUCAUGGAGUGCCUACAUCGAUAGUAUCGGAUCGAGACACUCGGUUUGUGUCUCACUUUUGGAGGAGUCUGCAGGAUGCCUUGGGCACCCGAUUGGACUUCAGCACUGCCUUCCACCCCCAGAGUGAUGGCAGUCAGAGCGCACCAUUCAGACUUUAGAGGAUAUGCUCCGAGCAUGUGUGAUAGAUUUCCAGGAAGGAUGGUCGCAUC
Molecule: long non-coding RNA, 86725 nt
Filed under: Ananas comosus (pineapple)
Lineage: Eukaryota; Viridiplantae; Streptophyta; Magnoliopsida; Poales; Bromeliaceae
Description: long non-coding RNA (ACOM_LNC021170)
Source: RNAcentral